RNAcentral lists this long non-coding RNA (63757 nucleotides) under Lactuca sativa (garden lettuce). Its description in RNAcentral is "long non-coding RNA (LSAT_LNC000191)". The record is from RNAcentral. Lineage: Eukaryota; Viridiplantae; Streptophyta; Magnoliopsida; Asterales; Asteraceae.
AUGAUGUGGAUGGUUCUAAGAACAUAAUCCACAAAUAUAUGGAUGUAAGAGGAGAUCUUUGAAGAGAUCAAGAAAUUAUAUCAUAGAUCUAAGUGGGAACUUACCAAAGUUGAUGAUCUUGAAUAAGAAUUUCUUGAAGUAUCCUCUAAUUCUCGAAAAUUUAGAGGAAAGUGUAGGAGUGUUCUUGUGAGAUUUCCUUAAGAGAUUUCUAAGUAAAAUAAGUGUGUUGGUGAUUUUUGGGCCCUAUGGCCGAGAUUAAGAAGAGAUAGGNAUUUUUGGGCCCUAUGGCCGAGAUUAAGAAGGAGAGAGGGGAAAAGAGAAGAGAGGUUUGAAGUGAUAGAAGUCUUGAUGCAUGAGAUUAGUUUUUGCAUGGAGGGUAUUUAGCAUGGGAACCCUACAUGUAAAAAUGAUGUGUCGCCAUGCAAUUUACCCUAUUUUUUUUAACCUUGGGCCGAAAAUGGCUCUAAUGGGAUGAAGAAAAAUGGUUUUGGGCUCAAUGUCUUGGCUUUGAUCGAACUUCAUAGCCCCAAUAUUAUUUUUCGGCCCAUUGUGCUUAAGGACGAUUCACGACCCCUUUUGAAUAAAAGAAAUGGAGUUUAUGGCCCAACAAGGCCUAUUAGAGAUAAAAAUGAAUUAUUUUAGGCCCACAUGGCCCAAAACAAUCUAGUUUCAUGACUGUGGGUCCAAGUAGAGCCCAAACAGUCGAUUUGAAAGUUUAUUGGUCCAUUAGGCCCAAUAAGAGAAUCCUAAUCCAUAAUGAAUUUGAGCCGAAAUUUCUAGGGUUUCCAACCCUUAGUUGAACAUAUGAGAUGUAUGUGAAUGAGAAUAGAUUAUAGUAAGUAUAGCCUUUUUCAAUGGAUGAUGUUUACAUGGGAAUCGAAUUUCCUAGCAAAUGCUAGUUGUGACACCUCAAAUGGUUCACACAACACCAAAUACACUUGGAAUAGAUUAGAGAGAAAUCCACACUUCAUGAAAAUUGGCUAGCCCUUUCACAUAUAUUCUAGUGCCGAUUUUGUCAACAAUAAGAUGCUUAUAUAGUUAGUGACAAUUAGGGUAAACCCUAAUUGUCAUGGCUUUCCAUUUCCUUGGAUCUAUGGAUUCAAAUACACCAUGGAGAAUCCAUGGAGCAUCUUAUGGGUUUUAGCCCAACUUGACAAUCCAUAAAGCAUUAGCCCAUUAUACAAGUAUGGAUAAUUUAUACAAUCAACCGAAAUAUUUAAUUAGUCUUCUUUUGAUCACUUAAUUAAUCCUAGAUUAAUUCUUGAUCAAUACUAAUUAAAUAAUCUUAUUAAUAUAUUAAAACUUCUAAUAUAUUAACAAACCUUAAGUGUUAUUUCUCUCAUUUUAGUCUAUCCAAAUGCAUGAUGUCAUGCAACCCAAAUGGACCAUGCUGGGUCGGGUCAAGUCUUACCAAUUAUAGUUAUUGACUUAGACAUUAAUCCAACAAUCCAGUCUGGGGGCAGUUUUGAUGCAACGUGGUUGUGUGAUUGCUUACGCUUUGAGGCAGCUGAAGCCUCAUGAUGCGAAUUAUUCGACACAUGAUUUGGAGCUGGGAGUCGUGGUAUCACACUCAAGAUUUAGCGGCAUUACCUCUAUGGGGUUCAUUGUACCAUCUACACGGACCACAAUAGCUUGAGGUAUCUAAUGGAUCAGCCGAAUCUGAACAUGAGGCAACAUCGUUGGUUAGAUGCGGUGAAAGAUUAUGAUUGUGAGAUCCUUUAUCACCCAGGGAAGUCCAAUGUGGUGGUCGAUGCUCUUAGUCACAAGGCAAUCGCGGCUCCAAUAAGAGAUAUAUGUUUGAGGAUGACCGUGAUUACUCAAUUAUUGGAGCGGAUUCAUGAGGCUCAUGCAGGGUAUAUGAAGGAAGAGCAUCGAAAGAGUGAACGCAUUGUAGGUUAGGUGGCUUCCUUCGAUUAUGGUAGCCAUGGAUUGCUGACUCUGCAUCGGCGAGUAUGGGUACCUUAUUGGGGUGGUUUGUGUCAGGUUCUUAUGAAGGAGGCAGGCACACGAGUCGAGGUUCUCCAUUCAUCCCGGGGCGACAAAGAUGUAUAGGGAUCUUCGUCCUAACUAUUGGUGGCCCUGCAUGAAGCGGUAUGUGGAAUGGUAUGUUGAGCGAUGCCUGACUUGCAGGAAAGUCAAUGUUGAGCAUCAGCGUCCUCACGGCAAGAUGCAGCCGUUGGAGCAUAUGGAAAUGGAAGACAUAACUGUGGACUUUAUUAUGAAGCUUCCCAGGACUGCGCGCAUAGUGGAUUCUAUCUGGGUCAUCGUGGAUCAUUUGACUAAGAUGACAUAUUUCAUUAUGAUCCAGGAGAGUAUUUAUAUAGAGAAGUUGGCCGAGAUUUAUGUCCGGGAGGUAGUGGCACGUCAUAGGGUGCCGAUAUCAAUGGUUUCAGACAUGGAUGUUCAUUUUACUUCCAGAUUUUGGAAGCGGUUUCAUGACAAGAUAGACACUCGUCUCCUUUUUAGUAUAACAUUUCAUUCAUAGACCAAUGGUCAAAGUGAGCGGACUAUUUAGACUCUUGAGGAUAUGUUGCAUGCGUGCGUGUUGGAUUUUGGUGGGAGUUAGGAUACGCAUCUUCCAUUAGCGGAGUUUUCGUAUAACAACAGUUAUCACGCCAGCAUCGAUCGACCUUCUUUUGAGAUGCUCUACGGGAGGAAAUGCAGUACCCCGAUUUGUUGGGGCGAGGUCGGUCAGCGAGUUAUGGGGAGUACCGAGGUGGUGCUCAAGACCACUAAGUUGAUUAAGCAGGUUCGAAGCAGGCUCCAGACAGCUGGGAGUCGGCAGAAGAGUUAUGUCGACAGGCAUCGAUCAGACUUAGAGUUAUAGAUGGGAUAUAUGGUUCUCCUGAAGGUGUCACCUUGGAGAGGUGUUAUCCCGUUCAGGAAGCGGGGCAAGCUGGGCCCCAAGUAUAUUGGUCCCUUAAGAGUUUUAGCUCGAGUGGGCCGAGUUGCGUAUUGUUUAGAUCUUUCAGCCGAGCUCAGUUUGAUUCAUAACACAUUUCAUGUCACUCAGUUGCAUAAGUGUUUAGUGGAUGACUUUGCAGUUGUACCUUUGGAGAAUAUUCAGGUGGAUGACCGUCUGAAUUAUAUUGAGAGACCGGUGGCAAUUUUAGAUCGAAAGAUGAAAACCUUGAGGAACAAGAUUAUGGAGUUUGUAAAGGUGCAGUAGUUGUACCACAAAGGGUCAGAGUGGACUUGGGAACCCGAGGAGGAGAUGAGGGAACAUUAUCCAGAGUUGUUCGAGACGGCGGACUUCAAGGAUGAAGUCUGAUUCAAGUGGGGGAGAAUUGUAAUGCUUGAUAAUUUCCAAGGUAUUUAUUUAAUUUGGAUUUAUUUAAUUGUUAUGAGUUGGGCCUUGAAUCAUUGGAUUUUUCUUAUUGGGCUUAGGGUGUUAAGUACGCAGGGUGUACCACCCUAUGUAUGCAAGGCGUACUGAUGUAGAAUGAUCGCGGGUGCCAUGCAUGUACACGCUGCGUACAAAGGAGUACGCACAACGUAUGUAUCUAGUCCCUAAAACCAUACUAUUUAGGGUUUUAGCACUAUUUAAAGAACAUUAUAACUUAAGGAUCUUCUUUAUCAGCCUCCAACUUGCCCCUAAAUAGCCUCCACAAAACCCUAGCCCAAUUGUUGAGUGAUAUUGAGCUUGGAAGGUCUUUUGAGUGCGUUUUGGUGUGUUUUGUCCCAUUUUCAAGGAAGAUAAGGUUGGAGCAAGGUGGUGGUUCAAGGAGAAUUUUAUAGAUCUGGAUUAUCUGCCGCAUUUCAAGCUUGUGCAAGGUAUAAAUCUUGAUCUUGAUCUUUAGAAGCUUAGAUCUCCAUGUUUUAGCUUUUGGACCCUUUUUGGUCCCAUAAAUAAGCUCUUGUGGAUUGUUUUCGUUUCUGAAGCUUAGAGUUGCUAGUCUUGGUGUUCUUUGGGUCCUAGAGGCAUAAAGUUGCCACCUUUGAAGCUUUAAUCCAACCAUGUUUGAGUAAUUGCCAUUUUUGUGGAAGUAGAAUGUUAUAUUUCAAGUUUGGGCUCAUUUGGGGCAUGCAAAGCCACCAAUUUGAUGACUUUAUGGGUUAAGACGUUGCAAAUGACUCAGAUUUGUGAUUGUAACUCUUGGACUUAAGUGGUUAAGAGAUUUUUGGAGAAAUGGCUUAUUGGGUGAGUAUGUUGGGCGUAUAAUUGGGGUGGAAAAUCGGACCAUCGUGUCGUGUUUUUGUCCGACACGACAUGACACGACAAAAUUUUAUGUAACACAAACACGACACGACACGAUCUCGUAUUUUUUUUAACUAACACGAAAACGAACCGGUUAAAAAACGACAAACAUGACACGACACGACAAAGAUAACAUGAAAUAACAAUUAAUGUAUUUAAUUAAUGUGUAUUUAUACAUAACACGACAAACACAAAAAACACGACAAAAAAUGUUAAAUCGUGUCAAUUUCAUGUCAAAUUUUGAACACGAACACAACACGACACGACUUCGUGUUUUUUACACUUGACACGAACACGAAUUCGAAUUUCAAUUUCGUCUCAAUUUCGUUUCGUGUCGUGUAUUUUUGUCGUGUCGUGUCAUCAAUCGUCACCCCUAGCGUACAGGCUCGUACAUGCAGCAUACAAGCCAUGCAGCGUGUAUGCUUGGUGUACAGCCGAGUACGCCUCGCGUACUCAGGCAGUUGGGCUUGGCGUUGUUUGGGCAUCGAGUUUGGCCAUUUUCUUGGACCUUGUUGCUUUGGGCCUUUUGGGCCAUCUGGAAUUAAUAUUUUGGAUUAAGGAAUUUUAGUGGGCCUUAGGCCAAGGGCCAUUUGGGGGUUUGAGCCCAAUUUGGAAAAUUGGGCCAUAAGUGGGCCUUUGUGGAUCUUUUGGUUUUGGGCCUUAUUGGUUUAUGGUUUUAGGCCUUAGUUUUGGAUCAAGCUAGGCCAGGGGUAAUAUGGUCAUUUUACCCCAAGUAUGGAUUAUUGAUUAUAGUUUGGAACCUAAGUGUUGAUUAGGUGGUAUUUUGUACUAAUAGCUCGGGGAGUCGUCAUGGUAGCAACUGGGGAUUUAUUUCUGUGAGAUUCAACAUUUGAGGUGAGUUUCCUCAAUGGGUUUAGCGGGUCUAAGGCACCAAUGCUGACCCUUAUUAAUUAUGUUAGGAUGCUAAGAGUUUGUGUGACCCUUGCAUGCGUUAUGUGUUGUUGUAUGUAUACCGGGCGAGGCUCGAUGCUAAGCAUGACAUGAGGAUUGGAACAUAUGCUAGUGUUAUGAUCAUUAUAUGUGUUAGCAUGAUUAUGUAAUAUUGAUUGUAUGUGUAUAAAGGGCGAGACCCAGUGACAUGCGAGGCAUGAGAAUAACAUAUUUGUAUACCGAGCGGGGCCCGAUGCCGGGCGGGGGCCCAAUGCAUGAUUUAUUAUGUAUGGUAUGGGGUAGUUUGGGGAACUCACUAAGCUUUGUGCUUACAGUUUUCAAAUUAUGUUUAGGGUACUUCCAGUGGCAAUGAGAAGAACUCGGGGUGACUGCAUUGCACAUACCAUAUGGAUUCUGUUUAUUGGGCACGCUCUAAUUUUUCCUGAUAUCUGACAUACUUAUUUUAUUUGGGUUGUAUGAACUAUGAUUGGAAAUACUGUUUUCACUUGAAUGAAAAAUGAAAAUUUUAGGUCGUAUUUUUGGGUUGUUACAUUGUUUGUUUUUUUGUCGGUCUUGAAUAUCAACGACUCUAUGUAAGUAAUCUGUUGUCCCUGGUUGAAGUUGAAUGUGUCCAGGUUCCGUAGGCGAAUAGUCUACAAUGUUUCGUCAUUUAUUUUCAAUCACCAUGUUAUGCAGAAUGAUACAUGCAUACAUAAUAUCUCGUAGAGUGUCCAACUCGUAUGGUCGUUCCGCAUGUUCAACUAUGUGACAUUUUGCUUUCAGAACUCUGAAAGUACGUUCCACGUCCUUACGUGCUCCUUAUUGUCUUCUCUUGAAAAAUUUGUUUAUCGGUUAUAUCUGGUGUCGAAACGCCAUCACAAACGUGGAAUAUGGUGGGUAUAUUCCAUCCGUGAGGUAAUACCCGAACUUAUACUCAUCGUCAUUUACUGUGAAAGGAGCAUCUGGUGCCUUUCCUGUCAAAAGGUCCUGAAAUAUUGGUGACUAAUGAAGAACGUUUACGUCGUUGUUAGAACCCGCAACUCCAAAAAAAGCAUGCCAAAUCCAUAAGUCUUGUGACGCAACAACCUCUAAUACUAACGAAGACGAUCCAAGAUGAUCACUUGUGUAUUGACCUUUCUAUGCCACAUGACAAUUUCUCCAUAUCGACUUUGUGCAAUCAAUGCUUCCAAGCAUUCCCGAAAAACUAUGUCGUUCUUCUUGCGCCGCAUAUAGUUAUUGCAUGUCAUUCAAUGAACGUUUGCGCAAGUAUUUGUCACUGAAGGUUUUGAUAACACCUCUCGCCAAUCUAUACAAACUUUCUCAUGCAGUUCACUCUGACAAUCUAUAAUAAUAUAAACAUAUAUUUAAUUUUUAAAACAACUGUAAUUACGGUACUUGCUUUCCAUUGCAUUGACUAUUCGUUGAAACACAUUUUUCCGCAAACGAAACCUUCUUUUAAAAUCGCUAGGUUGGUAGACACAAUUAUCCGCAAAAUAAUCGUGUACUAGACGUCUAUUCCCUUUGAUGCGUGCAAAUUAUACCUACCUAGCUACACCUAAUUUUAUAUUUAUAACCUAACUAACUUAACUAACUAAAUUGCACCUAGGCACUGUACUUAGUCAAAUUAUAGAAUAGUCGGGUAAGUCGGGUGUCGAUCAUAGGGAAGGGUUUUAACUAAUUAAUCUACCUACUAUUAAAUUAACCUAAUUUCUAAUAAAGUGGGGGGGUUUUUUUUAUCUAAUUUUGCAAGUUUAGAUGAACUUAAUUCGUAACACAAAAUUCAAUCAAUUAACAAACACUUAUGUUAGUUCAAAUCCACUUCCCCUCAAUGGUUUAUAAAUUAGUUAUGACAAUUACUGUUGGUUACCAAUUAAGAUAGUAUUAGCAAUUCAGUUCUAAAUUUACUAACAUUGAUUAAUUAAUGUAAAUCUAUGCAUUGUCACACAAUAGUUAACUUAAAAUCAAUUAUUAAAUGAAAUUGGAGCCAUGUAAGAUUGAUUUGAAAAACACACUUAUGGUCAUAAUAUGAGUUCUCUAGCACAUCCUAAUUCAAUAGUUCAAUUAUUUUUCUAAGAUUUGUUUGAUCUUAGCUCUAAUAAACUAGUGUUCACUGAAUUAUUAAGUAUUCAAAUUCAUGCAUAUUCAUAUUCACUAACUACACAUAAUAAGAAUUUAAAGCAAUCAAAUAUUAAAUCAAACAUGCUAGGUUCAAUCAAUCAAACACAAGUCAUAACCAAAAAGUAAAUCAAAACUAAAGUAUUGAAACCAUGAGUUCCAGCUUCAUCUAGCUAACAGAAGCAGCUAGAUUUAGCUGGACAUACUAGCAAACAAACAUAAACAAAUCAUAUUCAAAGACAUAUUUAAAUGUACCAAACUAUUAAGCUAAUAAUGAACUUCUCCUUCUUCCUUGGUGUUGAAAGCCAAUUCCAAACGUUUUCUCCCUCUGGAUUUUGUCUCCAGGAACCCUCCAAGUUGUCCAAAAGUCCCUCAAAGUCGUAAUGAUCAAGAGAAUAUAUAGUUAUCAUAAAAUUCACUCUCACGUCGUGAAUGAGUAUGACUCACGACGUGAAUGCAGUAGAUAUCUGUGUUCUACAAGGAUUCCUCCUCCGCGAUGCUUAUCUUCUGGAAUAGUUCCAUUCACGUCGUGAAUAGUUAUGACUCACGACGUGAAGUUAGCAGAUUACAGGGAUUUCCUCUUCUUUCAUUCUCCAAGCCUCCAAAGUUCCAUGCUUUGUCAAUUUCAGUCAUUUUCUCCCAAAAUACUUCAAUUUGGCUGCAAAGUACAAUUAAAGCUUAUAAGCAUCAUUAUUUAAUGCAAAUAACCAAAAUAUUAAUAAAAAUGUAAGUAAAUAUUGCCCAAAAACAUGUAUAAAUAUGGCAGUAUCACCCUUCUUCACGAUCUCUGUUCAACGCCGCACGUCUGGUCAGUAGUGGAGCUGGCUUUGGCGGUAACAUGUAUGUAACAUAUCGAUACAUCAUACCCACGAACAUAUCAUUCUCGUCGAUAUCAUGAUUAUAUGGAUGAAACGGGUCAAAAGGUUCCAUUUUUUUUUUGUAAAUAGAAAUAUAGAAAAUAUAUUAAACUUGAUAGAAAUGUGUAUUAGAGAGAAUUAGAUAAAUUUUCUAUGUAAAGAUAAGUUAGAAUGUGUGUGUGUGUGUAUAUAUAUAUAUAUAUAUUAAAGUAAUUUUUUUUAUUAUUCGUGACCGUUCCACAUCGGUCAGAAAGUAGACCGUUUAUCCCGUUUCGUCCCGUUAUCACCCACACACCGAAUAUCGUAACGCCAAAAAAACGUGUACCUGGAGGCGGUGUUUGCACCGUUAUACCAACAUUUUUUGAUGUACACGUCGGAUUAACGGGCACUUCGGUUGCCCAUUCCGAGUAGUCUAAAUGUCAAAAUGCAAUGAAGAAAAAGAUUCAUUACAAAUGUCAAUUAUAAGUAUGUAGAAGGAUAAAAUAUAAAAAAGUUAUUAUCUUUUGGGAUAUACACAGUAAAGUCCCAAUAUUUUCAUCGAUUUGACAAGAAAAUCCUGAACUUUAUUUUUUUGACAGUAAAGUCCAAAUUACCGGCAGUUUUUGACACUUUUACAUUUUUUUCCCGAUUAGCCGGUAAUUAGGACUUUUUUGUCAACAAAAUAAAGUUUAGGACUUUCUUGUCAAAUCGUCAAUUAGGACUUUACUGUUAAAAAAAAAAAUAAAGUUUAGGACUUUUUUUGUCAAAUCGUUGAAAAAAUUGAGACUUUAGUGUAUAUAUAAUUUUUUUGGUUAGAAACUUAAUGAUAUGAUACUCUUUACGCAUAAGAGUUAUUGAAACAUUCUCUAAUCAGCUAGAUCAUAUUGAAAUCCUUUACGUUUGCUUCUUGUUAAAUCGUUAUUUUAAUCUCAACAAACUGACAUUGAAAAAAAUUGAGAUAAUCAAGAAAGAAAGAAAGAACCAGGGUUGUGUUGGCUUUUUGCAGUCUCAAAAAUGGAGAAAUUAGAAACCUACAAAAACGAAAAUGCCCUGACUUUUUACAAAUACAAACAACACGUGCCUAGUCAAAAUGGUGUGAAUGUGGAGAAGGGAAAGAAGGACAAUUUCGUUUUUUUCGGUUUCUUAUUUCUCCAUUUUUGGGGUUGCAAAAAGCCAACACAACCCUGGUUCUUUCUUUCUUUCUUGAUUAUCUCAAUUUUUUUCAAUGUCAGUUUGUUGAGAUUAAAAAAACGAUUUAACAAGAAGCAAACAUUAAUGAUUUCAAUAGAAUCUAGCAUAUUAGAGAAUGUUUCAAUAACUCUUAUGCUUAAAGAGUAUCAUACCAUUAAAUUUCUAACCAAAAAAAUUAUAUAUACACUAAAGUCCCAAUAUUUUCAACGAUUUGACAAAAAAAGUCAUAAACUUUAUUUUUUUUGACAGUAAAAUCCUAAUUGACGAUUUGACAAGAAAGUCCUAAACAUUAUUUUUUUUGACAAAAAAGUCAUAAUUACCGGUUAACCAGAAAAAAAUGGUAAAAAUGUCAAAAACUGUUGGUAAUUUGGACUUUACUGUCAAAAAAAUAAAAUUUAAAACUUUUUAUCAAAUCGAUGAAAAUAUUAGGACUUUAUGGUAUAUAUCCCUUAUAACUAAAUAGCAACUAUAAUGUGUGGAGUUUGGUAAAUUCCGCUUGGGUUUGGUCUCUACAACCCAUUCAACCCCAAGGCUAUUCUAGUAAUUUCCCCACUAGAAGGAGCUAGGUUCCGCUGCCUUUUAAGUCUAGGUUUUCACUAUCAUCACUCUCACUCAUCGUUUUGUGGUUUCCUGUGGAGAAGAGCAGCAGAUACUCAACAACUUGCAGGCUCUAUUUUCUCAUCGCCAUCAGGUAUCUGUAGGUGUCCUAAAAUCUACGGUUAGGGUUUUGUUAGCACAGUAAUUCAUGGAAAAUGUUGAAAUCUCACUUGUUACCGUCGAUUCAAUCUUUAUUUUUUAGGAAAAAACAUCGGUUCACCAUAUCGUUAUAAUUGUUAUGAUGAUUUUGGUAUCAUCGAUGAAGUUUUAUGUGUUAUGUUUUCGUUGUAAGCUGGAUGUUUCAGGAUGUUUGAUGAUGUGUGCGAGAAUUUCAUUUUAGGGUUUAUGGUGUAUGUUUGCUUUCUUAAAUAGCGUCUACAUGUUAGCUAAUAUAAAUAGUUACCUUGAUGUUUAUAUAUUGGUUGCCACUCGGCUUCUUCAUCUUUGAAAACAAUGCGAUUAGACCCCCCUUAGGUUUGGAUCUAUGCUUAGAUGUGGAUUGUGUAAUUUUUCUCGUGAAAACUAUUGGAUAAACUUGCUUCGUUUUUUGCACCAUGGAAAGCUUAUUUAUGAUUUAAGCCUGGUUCCAACUUUGUUUGUGGGGUUAAUUUGCUACUUUUAAUGUCUAUAUGUAAAGUAUCAGUUGCUCUCUUUUAGGGUUUAUGUUUAGGUGUCUUAUUACCUCGACAACAAGCAAUGGUGAUGGGAUUAGAUCAUAUGUGAAGUUCUUUUGGGGUGCAUGGAUUAUUGCAUGUGAUGCCCUAUAAUAGUUUUAAUAUAUCAAUGGCUGUAAAUUAUCUGUCCAUAUUAUGCUAUGGUUAUCUGUCUAUUAAACUGUUUUCUUUUUGAACAUGUAAUGUGCAGAAAGAGUGCUUUGAGGAAUGCUGGAUUGAUUGGUCCCAAAUACAAAGAAGAUGAGCAAGAAGAACCCAUUUGUAUACUUGGAUGUGUCUAUAGAUGGAGAUCCUGUUGAAAGGAUGGUUUUUGAGGUCUUUAUUAUAGCUUUAACCUUCUAAGAUCUUUCUUUUAUUCUUUUUUCUGCCAGAUGGCAUUGCCACAUCACUUAUUAUCAAGCUGAAAAACUAAUUCCUUUUAUAUGGUGUUACAGCUAUUCUCAGACACUGUUCCCAAGACUGCUGAGAACUUCCGGGCACUUUGUACUGGUAAAAUGUUCAUCAUAAUUGGUAUUCUUUUUGUCAUAAGUUUAUAAAACUGGAUGCUUUUUUAAAUUUCAGGAGAAAAAGGGAAUAGUCAGAAAACCGGGAAACCCCUACACUACAAAGGAUCCUUCUUUCAUCGCAUAAUCAAAGGAUCCAUGGCUCAGGUAUGUUUUCUAUCAAUUACUUUCAUAAAUUAUAUUGUUUUUUUUUUUUUGUUUUGUUAUUUUAUUUUCCACUUAGUUUCUUCUAGUUCUGGAUGUCUUGGUGGUGGUCUGUCUUUUUAGUCGGCUAUCCUUGUUUAAUCUGUAGGAUACAGGGUUGAUGGUUCCAACUGCUUUUCUUGUGAUGUAGUUUUUAAGGUUGUAAUUAUUUGGUUGUAUUUGUAAUAUCAUCACAUUCAUUCUGAAACAUAUCAUACAAAAUUUACAAAUCCAUCUUUCUGCAAUGAUUUCUGAAUAUAAUUUCUAUAAGUGAAUUAAUUCUUUGUAUUUUUUUUUUGCAGGGUGGGGAUUUUUAUAAACGUGAUGGUAUGUACAUUUUGCCACCAAUUUUUUUUAAUUUUUGUAUACAAAAUCCAUAUCUCAUUGGUUUACUUUUGCAGGAAGUUAUGGAGAAAGCAUAUAUGGAGGGAAGUUUCCAGGUGAGAAAAGUCACUAUGUUCAUUACUUGUGUUUUCUGUUUGAAUGUUGAUGAUCAUAAAUACAUAAUAUGUCUUUAGGUAGUUGAGGAUUUCAUUUAAUUUGUUUAAAAAGUGUAUGCAAAAGAAAUUGAAAUAAACCUUUUAGCUUCUAUCUCCCCAAAAUUUCUAUAUAUGUUUAUAUUUUGAGAGAAUGGGUUUCCUUUUUGAAUUGCCUGUGAAGGUGGGGGCUGACAUUGGUCUUAUUCUCGGUGCAUGGGAGCUCAACCCACAAUGAAAUGGGCAAAUUGUAAUUGUCUUGAAAAAUGGUGGGUGUAUGAAUAUUUUGUGUGCCUUUCUUUCUAGGUUUGAAAUCUUUGGUAAAAUACAAAGUAUUUGGUUUGGAUGAUUUAUGCAGCUAGUUAAGUCUAAUGUAUAAUGUAUGCUUUAUAUUUAUGCCCAAUACAUUGUCAUGAGUUUUUUUAUCUGGCUUUUUUUCCAUGUUAAGUUCCUGGCUACCUUAUUAUUAUUAUUUUGAAUUGGUUAUAAUCAAAAUUUGUUACAUUUCAGAUGAAUCCUCCAAACUGAAACAUGAUGCUCCUGGCCUUCUAACAAUGGCAAUUGCUGAUCGUGAUUCACGUGGCUCUUUAUUUAAUGUGACAUUUGGCGCUAAUCGCCACCUGGAUAGGUUUGCUCAUCUUUGUUGUUACAAUUUUAUGUUGGACAAAUUGAUAGAAAUAGCUACAUACCUUACUUUUGUUAUGGUUACAUAUUGCUAUUAUUGAUAAAAAAAAAGUGUUAAGUAUGUUGCUAUUACGGGUAAAAAAAUAAAUACACUGCAUGUAUUGGUAUUUCCUACAUGUUAUCUUUUUAUAUUUAUCUGAAAAGUUAGAGUUUUAGCAACAUUAACUGUCUAACUUUUGAUGGAAAAGGAAAUUUAAGUGUUGGAAAUGGAAUUUCUUGAACAGGAAGUAUGUUAUUUUUGGAAAGCUUGUUCAAGGACUUGAUGUAUUGAAGAAGAUAGAAAAUGUGGGUGAUGAAGAUGGAAUGCCAACUGUGACAGUGAAGAUCAUUUAUUGUGGGGAAGUAAACGAGAGUGAGAAUCAAAGCUCUGGUAUGGUGGAUAAUUAUUGCAUUUUUAAUGACAUAAUUGUUUGUUUAUUUUUUUAAAAUAAAGUCUCUGUUUUUGAUGUUUUUAUAGAUAAGAAGGCAGCCAGCAAGUUGAAAAGUGGGAAAGAUGUUUCUUCAGAGGUUCACAGCCAUGAAGUGAAGCGGAAGGGAAAGCACAAGAAAUCUUCAAAAGAUAAAAGGAAGAAAAGAAAAAGAUAUUCUUCAUCUGAUUCAGACAGUUCAUCUGACAUGGAAUCUGACUCAUCUGAUUCGGAUAGUGAUUCCGACUCUGAUGAUUCAUCCUCGUCAUCAUCUGAUGUCAGCUCUUCAAGUGAUGACAGGCGUAAGAGAAAAAAGAGAUCCAGAAAGGAUCGACACAAACGUGGAAAAAGAAAGGACAAAAAACGCGAGAAGAAGCGUAGGAGACGCGAUAAGAAAUCCAAACGUAAAUCAAAGAGGUUGGUAUGGUAUUUUAAUUUUAGUUAAACCUUAAAUAAAGUAAUGUUUUAUUCUUUAUAAAAGUUAUUAUAUAUCAUUUUGUAGGGUGUCUGGUAGCGGAAGUGAGAGUUCAAGUGAAAGCGAACAUGCGUCUGAGGACAAUAAUGGUGAUGUCAAAAAGCGAAACCGGAAACAUAAUAAUAGUAAUAAUAAAUCUCCUACAGCUGAAUUUGAAGAUGGUAAAACAGGAGAUGCAUUUGCAUUUGAUGGACAUGUAAAGGAGGAAGAAGGUGAAUACCCGAAAGAAAAUGGUGGGGACCGCCCAAGCAAUGGUGUUGACCUGGCGAAGGCUGAUAUAGUCGAUGACCAUCUCGGAAACUCUAGGUUCAAUCAAAUUUAAUAAAACUUUAUUAUUAUUAUUAUUAUUAAAUUCUUUCUAAUCUUAUUUUUUUUUUACUAAACAGAAGUAGAAGCAAAAGUCCUCCUCGAAGGGAAUUGAGCAAGAGUAUGAGUAUUAGCCCAAGGAGGAGUCAAAGUGUUAGUGGGACCCCUCCUAGACGGGCCCCAUCACGUAGCCCGGUCAGAAGCGAAAGCAGCAGCAAGAGUCCGGUUAGAAGCAUAAGCAGAAGUCCAGUGAGGGGCAAAAACGUCAGAAGCAUAACUCCCUCACCAUCACCUCCACGAAGGAGUGUUUCUAGAAGCCCACUGCGAACAUCGUCUAGAAAAUCCUCACGAAAAUCAGUAAGCAGAAGUCCGGUUAGAUCUUCCAGAAGAAGCUACAGCAGAAGCCCAGUCAGAUCAUCUAAAAGAAGCUUGAGCAGAAGCUCUGGUAGACCGCCUUUAAGAAGAAGCCCUAGCAGGAGUCCGGUCAGACCGCCUAUGAGGGGUGGUCGCCGGAGCUAUUCCAGGAGUCCGGUAGGUGGGCGUAGGGCGGCUAGGUCACCGGAGAGAAGCUUGUCUAGAAGCGCUUCACCUGAUGGCUCUCCCAAACGUAUCAGAAGAGGACGCGGUUUCAGUAACCGAUUUUCUUACGCACGCCGAUACCAUUCUCCCGAUCGCUCCCCGGUCAGAUCUUAUCGCUAUAGAAGUGACCGCGACCGUGACCGUGACCGGUAACAAACUAACAGCUAGCAAUUUUAAAUUAAGUUUUUUAAUAUAUUUAAUAUAAAAACAAUUAAACCAAUAUUUUGGUUUGUAGUUAUUCAAGCUAUAGAAGGCGCAGCCCACUGAGAGACAGAAGUCCACCAAGGUAUUUUGGAGUAAUAAUGGAAUCUUUUUUUUUGGUGAGAAAGUGAUUAUUUGAUUGUUAAAUUCAAUUAUUUACACAGGUACAGAGGGAGAAGAAGCAGGACACGGAGUCCGAGUGUGUCCCGGAGUCCUGUCCCUGUGCGGUACCGCCGGCGCUACAGUCGGAGCCGGUCGCCGGUGGAGACAUCAAGGUACAGGCCAUCACCGCCAGUGGAGAGGAGGAGGGCGCCACGCAGCAGGACCCCGCAUUCUCAAAGUAGGAGCCCGUAUGAACGUAGGUCCUCUCCAUCACCAUCUCCGAGAAGGAGCGUGAAGUCAAAGUCAAAGUCAAAAUCGCCAUCGAGAUCAAGGUCAAUGUCGAGGUCAAGAUCUAGGUCGUCUUCUGGAAGCCCACCUGGGAAGAAAGGACUGGUGUCGUAUGGAGAUGGUUCUCCAGACAGUCAGAAGUGAGAAGAGAAGAGAAAGAUCUUACUUUUGAGGGUGAAAUGAUUUAUAGACUUGGUAAUUGGUACACUAUGUAGGGUGGGUGUGUUUUGAAUAAUUUGACUAUUUCUCUUGUAUUUCUUUCUUCUUCUGUGGAGUGACUGUUGAGGUGCUGCUAGACUAGUAACGAUGAUUGGAUAUGUGUUUGUUUUUAAGAGGUUGGUUAGACUGAGGGGAAUGGGACCGAGUAUCAAUUAUGUUAUGUUUUAAAAAGCCUCUUCUGUUUUUAUCUUUAUUGUUAUGGUUUGCUCUUUGAUCAGUGCGACUUGAAGGUAGUUUGUGCAUUUAUAUAUGUAUUAACAUAAUCUUGUGUGCUUGAAUUGAUACAUUAUAUUAUAAUCUUUUCAAAGAAUAAGCUAACAAGUUAAAAGGAGGGUCAUCAAGAUGUAUUGAAUUAUUAAGUAGAUUGAGAGAAGAUUAUUUACCAUCUCUUUAAGACCGGUAAUAAUUGCGACAUAUGUAUUGUAUUUAGUUAUUUAUUAUUUAUUAACCGAUAAAAUUGGAAUAAGUUACCUAAAAUUUAGGGGAAAAUAUGAUUAAUUACGUAAGUUCAGGGGGUAUUUUGGUUUACGGCAACAGCAGGCGACGUGUAGAAGAAGAAUCUCGGGAACCCUAGCAGAGGUUUGUUUCUCAAUCCUACGCCGCUACGACCAUUGCCGCUUUCUCCACUCCACGAUGAUAACAAAGAAACAUCCGUCGCCGUUUCUCAAUCCAACGGUAAUAUGAUUUACUUGUUCGUUAUUAUUUGAAUCUAUUAAACACAAGAUAUAAGCCGAAGCAUUUUGAUUGAAAUAAGACAGUAACCAAUAAAUACUAAAAGCCAAUCUCUUUUCUGUAGCUUGGUAACAUUUGUAUUACUAAUAAAUGAUGAAUGUAUUAUUGAUUGUACUUGGGUUUUUGAUUGACAGGGUAACAUUAAUGAUAUUGAUCGUAAUGUUCUAUGCAAUGUGUUACACAUCAAACAAUGCUCCAAAGCCUCCCAAUAUAUGGUGAAGUUUACAAAGCAAAGGCAUUGGAAUCAUCAAACAAGUAUGUCUCUACCUUUUAUAAGCUUCUUCAUUUUCAGUAACAUUAUAGGAAUUAGACACUCUUUCUUUGUCACCACUGCAUUUGUGAUGGCAUUGGCAGCUGGUAAGCUUUGGGACACCAUUUCUGAAUGCAUCUCCCAAAUUCAAUCUGAUUGUGAUGAUGAAGCUAAAGAGAGGGCACUUCAAACCCUAGUUUCCAUCACAAAAGCAAGCCCUCCACACAGAAAUUUAGUCAUGCAGAAUCAGGAAGCCAUCCCCGCUCUCCUCUCCCUGCUCAAAUCCUCCUCCCGUGCUCUUGAAAGACUCUCACUUUCCAUCCUCUUCAACCUCUCAUUAAACCCUAAUCUCAAAUCCACCCUUGCUGACAUGGCAACCAUUCAACACCUCAAUACUGUGAUCCUGUCUCGUGGGUCACUCGAGUCUAGCAAACUAGCAGCUUCUUUGAUAUGCAGCCUGGCAAUGCUAGACAAGAAUAAAGCAGUGUUUGGGGUAGCGAAUACUAUUCAAGCAUUGUUGAAGGGAGUUUCAAGGCCUAAUAGUCCUGUGACACAUCACCUUCUCAGCUCACUUGCUGAGUUGGUGCACUUCCAUGGGAAUUGCACAUUGGCUGUUAGAUCAGGUGCAGUUGGUGUUCUCCUGAGAAUAGUUGAGAACAAAGACAGUGAAGAUCUUUGUGGGACUGCUCUUAGUAUUCUUGGGCUUCUUGCUAAGUUUGAUGAAGGGCUAAAAGCUUUGACAAAUACACCUAGUAUUGUGAGUAGAAUGCUUGAUGUGUUGAAAGGUAGGUCCAUGUUGAAUAAUGAAGGUGCAGCCGAGGUACUUCUUCGUGUUUUUGAUGAGAGUGAAGAAUGCUUGAGAGAUGCUAUCGGAUUGCCUGAUUUCAUGUAUACAUUAGCUGAGCUCUCGGUGAGAGGAUCAACGAGAGCUCGGGAGAAAGCUUCUCUACUGUUGAGAAAACUUGAGGCUAAUGAAUCAUAUGUAGAUGAUGAUCUGGUGUUCUUGAAAUGGUAAGGUAGGAUGCGUGUCUUAAGAAAAGUAACAUAAUAAGAGCUUUUGUUUGUUUUGUAGCACAUGAGUGUGCACAUUAUUAGGUCCUCUUUGAAGGUUUAGGUAAUGAAUAGAUGGGUUUGGUGUUAAAAAAGGCAUGGAGUUUAUAGGAUUGAAGCCAUGACUCACAAAACUACGAACUACAUAAAAAAUGAAUUUGAGAGUUACAUAAAGCCAUAAAGUUAAAUUUAUAAAGAAAGCAUAACUAUCUUGCAUCCAAAUACAACAACAACAACAAAUAAACCCAAAUCCCAUAAAGUCUUGUGAGGUAAGUGGGAGGUUUGAUGUAGGUGGUCUUAGUGUCUUGCCUCCACCCGUGGGUAGAGAGGCUACCUCUAUAGGAGACUUUCGCCAUGAUCAAGGAUGCACCAUACAUGAGCAAAUAAAAGCAAUAUACAAUUAAAUAUACUAAUACUAGAAAUAGUACUAAUUGUAAAAAUGAAAUAACAUAAGACGAUAAAUACUUAAAUGCCUAAAUGAUAAUACAAGAAACAAAACUUAUGCUACUACACUAACCUAAUUCUCCGUCUCCACUCCUACCUAUGUGAGGUCUGUAGAAGGUGCCAACUCCUUCGUGUCUAACCUCACACUAUAGUUACGUUGCGUCCUCGGUCGACCUCUCCUCUUCGCCUUACCGUAGAUGUGACGCCUCGAUCCAUUGAGUACCGUCAUCUAUCCUUAGUACACUUUAUUUUAAAUACAACUAAGAUAAUACCUUAGAUUUCAUCUUCAUCAUGGUUUAACAAAAUUACAUAAGCAAAAGUGCAUAAAAGAAAAACUAUUUUAACCGUUUAUAAUUCAUCCAAAAUUUCUGUUAAAACACUAACUACUUGUGGUCCUUCUUCUUUCCUGAGAUACAUACAUGAAUACAUAAGCUUUAAGUUUAGUGAGUAUUUUGGUUUUAAUAUUUAGCAUAAACAUUUGAUGGAAAAAUAACAAUUAAAUGCUUGAAAACAUUAAUUUGAGAUCUUAUAGCUACAUGUAAGUAGGCCCAACUUCUGGGAGGUUUGCUAACCUUGGGAUUCAUAUAAGGCUGUCCCAUAAGGUCCGUUUUUAAGACGUCCCUUCAUCCCAUACCCAAUGCGUUGGGUUACUUGGGUAUUUAAAUGACCGUACUUAACAUGAAUAAAACUUUCAUGCUAACUUCAUAAUAUGUUGUUAAAUGUCUUUGAAAAAUCAUUUGAGCAAGUGAACAUGGCAAAUAAUUUAAAUGCAUUGAACAUAUACGUAGCAUGUAUGUAUCCCAUUAAAUCACAUAAAUAUACUCACCUUUCUUUGAGCUUUUAGGCUUCUUUUUAAUCUUUUAAGUCACCACCAAGCUUGAUAGUGUAUUCUAGGAUGAAAAAAAAUGCUUAACUUCACUUGCUAUGUCUAGUAAAAUUGUGUGCAUUGCUUGCUUGUUCUUUAGGCCUAAAACAUAGUACAUUGUUGAUGAGAUGAUUACACCUAGUGUACUUGUUGUACCUCAUCUCCUUAGAAGCUUACACCUCAAGCCUCUAGCUCUUCUAUGUCAUCUUCCAGCUUAGCUUAAUCUCCUUAGAAGCUUACACCUCAAGCCUCUAGCUCUUCCAUGCCAUCUUCUAGCUUAGCUUAAUCACUCAAAAUCUAGGCAACGCUUAUCUCUACUUGUAUAUGCUAGCUUGGUUACUACUUUUAGCCUUGAUUUGUCAUGCUAAGCUUUGGUUUACUUGUAGCUGGUGUUGUGGUACUUGUAAGCAUAUGGUAAGCUACUUGUGUGCUUGCUUAUUUUCAACUUUUCUUUUUACAUAAAAUUUGCAACAUUCUUCUAUAACAACUAUUCUUAAAGUGUCCCUUAUGUUCUUUUAUAUUACAAGGGUGUUAUGGUAGAUGAUUGCCUCCUCUUGACAUAUCUAAACCACUAAAAUCUUUCUUUCCUCGAAUUUUCGGUGGUUCACGCAACUCCUAACUUAUUUAUGAUUAUAGCAUUCAGUAUUUUCUCCAACAUUGUUGUAAAGCAUAAACACUGAAGGAUCCUCAUUUCAGAAAUUUCCAUCUUCCUCUCAUGCUCUUUUUUUUCCGGCUAACAUUUGAAGCAACUACCACCUUGUAUCUUGCAUCCAAAUGAUGCCAAUGGUUGUUUUAAAACAAUUUUGGCUAAGGGUGUAGACUAGACAAAGCAAAGUAGAAGGAGAAACGAGGUUUAUUGGGUAGGGUUUAACAUGGACUAGGCUUAUAUAGACCACACUUUUAUCAUGUUAGAUAGUAGAUAGUUUUUUAUAAUGAUUUCUUAUGCAUCUUUAGCGUGGUCGUACAAUUAUGAAUAUUUAUAAUAGUUGGAUAAAUUUAUAAAAUAUGAAAGUGUUGUGGCAAAAUCUAGAGAUUUGAAACAUGUGAACCUACAUGUUUUAGACAUGACACUUUAGUGUCUUGUUUAGGGACCUAUUCCGUGUAAAUGCAUGUAAUUAUCACAUGAAGCUUGCAAAUUGAACUUAUUUUACUAAAUAUUAGGUGUAGACUACCAGGAAAGAAAUUUAAAGCCCAAAUUUGCUUGCCUUUUCUUUCAUUUCCUUUAUCGUGAGUUCGUGACCUUUCCCCUUUAUUGUGCCCUCGACAAUCGACAUAGGACAUCGCCGAGUGGUGCGUUUGCUAUCGUAUCUUUCGAUUGCACCUCAACUACACCUAAAACAACAAGAAUUUGUUUAUCGCAUUGAUAUUAAGGUAUCUUUUUCGAAUACUUAACCUUUAGAUCUAGUUUGAUCCCAAAUCGAUUAUUCCAAAAUUUUACUUGUAAUGCUUUAGUUAGGUAAAUUAUUUUGCAACCGGAAAGAAUUGGCUAGGGUUGUUUGGAAUAAAUGUUUGUGUGCUUCCGAUUACGCUAUCAAUAUUUCUUUACAUUUUUGUUAAUAGGAUUAAUGUCAAUGAACUUAACUUGUAUAUGGAAUGUCAUAAUUAUGAUUUCCAUUCCAUGAUAAACAAUGUUAGGGCCUUAUUAAUGAGAUAAUUCUUUAAUUAAGGUAGUUAUUUAAUUACUUAGAAGCAGUGAUGAUAGUUUGUUAAGCUUUGGUGUCAUGGAUGGUGUCACUUAGAUCAUGAGAGAGAUAGAGAGAAGGGAAGGGGGGGGGGGGGAUCUUAUGGGCCAUCAUUUGUACCCAUCUAGUAGAAUGACGAGAGAGUCGAGUUCCAUAGGUCUUGGAUAUUUCUUCCAUUUCAUAGUGGAUGAUAGUGGGUAUCUUACUAUGAUUUCCUUCUUUGUAUCUCCAAAUUAGCAAAGGGUUUAAAGGCAUUUAGCUACAACUCAUUGCCUUAUUGUGGUUGUAAAUAAUAUGUCCAUCUUUUUGCACAUGUUAUGCUUUUUUCGUAAUCUAGUGGGAAAUUGUGUUAGAUCUUUUGAUAUCCUCGUUUAUAUAGAGGGACACGUUUGAGAACAUGAACCAUAAAUUUUGGAUAUAAUGAUAUUAACUAUGUUGAGACAUCUUUUUGGUUUUAAGAUGAAUUUUGGUUUUACUCCCACCAUUAUCCCAUUUUCUUUGGUUUUUCCUCUCAUUUUUGGACCAUUGACUCUAGUCGUAGUCAAAUCUCAUCUUUACCAUUUUAUAUGGACCUUGUUGCUCAAACCUCAUCUUUAAUAUCGCUAUGCGGCGGUGUUUGGGAUUGCUUUUCAAAACAACCUAUUGACUUAUUGGCUUUUUGAAAAGCCAAUAAGUCAAAAAUAAUGUUUGGCAAACUCAAAAGCAUUUUUCAAAAUAACUUUUCCAUUAGCUUCAAAAAGGAGAUUUCAAAAAGCAGGUAAAACUUGGCUUUUUGAAACUCCUUUUAGCUUUUUAAUCAUAAUAGCUUCAAAAAAGAGAUUUUAAGCCUAACAUUUUUUUUAAACUUAUUGCCUUAUUGGAUUUUGCCAUCUCAAAAGCUAAUCCAAACACUUUUUUAAGUCAAUAAGCACUUUUUCCCAACAACACUUUUGGAAUUCAAAAAGCAGUCCCAAACACCCCCUUGUUCCAACCAUGUGUUGUCAAUGCACCAAGAUCUUCAGUUUUGAUCUGAGCCUUGGCCUACAUUAGUGCUGGCUUUGACUAUUAAGUUCUACCUGAGUUGGGUGUCACUAGCAUUUUCUCAAGAGAUUACUUGAUCUUUCAUUAUUCUACCUUGGUGUCUUUUAGCAGAGCAUCAGAGUUUUCUCUAUUGAGUCAAGAAAUUCUAAACCUUUUAUAUUGCUGGUCGCCUAUAGAUGUUUUUUCCAAUCCAUGACUUGUAAACUACGGCGUUCUCUGUUCUUAUAGAUUUGGUCCUUGAAUUUUAUGCAAGAAAUAUUUUAUAAUGCUUAUUUAAAAAAGAAAAAACUAAUGUAAUGCAAUGUUUAGAAGAGGAAGAAUGAGCAUGGUGGGAGAUUGGAUUUGUGGGUCAUGCAAUCACUUAAACUUUUACUGGAGAGAAUCAUGCAGGAGAUGCAAAGAGCCACGAUCCCAAGACAUGAAUGCAGCUGUGAGUGCGGGCCCCAGGGUGUUUGCUUUUAGGCCCGGGGAUUGGUUCUGUGAUGUUGGGAUUUGUCAGGCUCACAACUUUGCAAGCCGAAGAUUCUGUUUCAAAUGUGGUGUAAUUAAAAGCAUACCAUCUUUUGGUCCUACUGUAGGACUAGGAUACUACCCUACCCUUCCCCUUCCCCCUCCCCCUCCUCCUUUCUUGAGUUUCAGUUUCAUGAAUCCCAGAAUCAGCCAACGAGGCUGGAAGCCUGGCGACUGGUUUUGUGGCAGGGGGUUUUUUUUUUAAUUUUUUUUUUUUUUUUUUUUUUUUUAUUUUAAAUAUUUUUUUUUUUUUUAAAUAUANUUUAUCUUUUUUCAUAUUUUUUUUUUUUUUUUUUUUUUUAAUUAAGGUCAUAAUCAUUAUUCAUUAAUACUAGUUGAUUCUCAUUCAUAUAAUCAUAUGAUAUGAUAUAGGCCUGGCUGUAAUGCACACAACUACGCUUCCCGAAUGAUAUGUUUCAAGUGCAAGUCUUCUAGGGAAUUGGUUACCAAUGUUUCUAAUUGAUUCCUUCCUUGCAUUCCGAAUUCUGGUAAAGAUUUUUGUUUUUUUUUUUCUUAUGAAUGUGUGUGUAAUUUAUGUCAUGUUUUUCAGGUCCUAUGGUUAUGCUAUCACCUCUGUUAGGAGAGAGGGAGAGUCAGAGUUGUUGUUUUUUCGUUCAGAUCUUGUUAUAUCUUAUGUGUUUCUUUUUAUUUCUGUUGGUUGCAUUGCAAUGGAGUUUGAAUCUGGUAUGAAGUUUACAUGAAUUAAUGAAGGAUGUAAUUAUAAGUGGUUUCUUCAGUUUGAAUGUGAUGAUUAUGGAUGGAUGGAUGGAGUUAUAAGAUUUUUGUGGCAAUUUGGUUGGAUCAUAUGUGUAGUUGUAAGAAAAGUUCAUUCAACUGGGUUGUUGAGUUUCAUACACAUUCAUUUGCAAAUGGUAAUUUGACAAGGAUUUUUUUUAAUAUAGCUGAUUUUGGAAAUUUUGGUCUUCAAAUGAUUUUUUUGUUUUUUGUUUUUGUUUGUUUGUUUGUUUUUUUUUUUUUUUUUUUUUUUUUUUUUUUUUUUUUUUUUUGUUUGUUUGUUUGUAAUGGUCUAUGUUCCAAAUAAAAUGACUUUUUUUUUUGUUUCCUAAGUUAUACCUGAUUUUUGCAGUUUUAUCACAAAAAUAGUCAUUUUCUUGGUACGAGGACCAAAAUCAUUAAAAAGAGGAUCAAAAUUGCAAAAAAAAAACUCACCUCAAAAUUGCAAAAGAAAACUCACAGACCAAAAUUACAAUUCAAAAUUACAAAAAGAGGACAUACUACCUAAUUCAUUGAUGAUUAAAGUGGGACAUUGUUUAGUCGUAUUCAAUAAUAUAUAGAAGUAGGAUCGGGUGAUGACUUGAAAAAUAGUGAGGAUUGCGAUGACAAAUCUUGGAUGUUUGUUGGUUUAAAUGGGUGGUUGAGAUAAAUCAAAAUUAAUAAAUAAACAAAAAAAAAAUCGUCCAAUGACAUUUUUGUAAAUAAAAUCAAGUUAGGAUCACUUUCCAAUUAAAGGGCAAUGUCUGGGGGUCAUAACUGUCAAAGGAAAUAAUAAAAUUUUGUUGCUGAAAUGAACUCCACGCACAAAAGGUGCGUCGCCAACUCUAUGGAUCUUACUCUUGAACACGUUUCGCCACCAGGUUUACUUGGGUUUAUUUAUUUAUUUUUAUUUUUCAUGGAUCUUACUCUCGUAUGAACUUGUAUAAGUAGUCCCCGGAAAUGUAUUGACCUGAACUUCAUGAAUAUGGCUUCGUAAUCUGGUUUGGAUGGGUUCUAACGGGAAAAAAACAGGUCUUGAACAAGCUGUUGUUUCGAGUUAAAAUCUGAAAAUUUAACCUAGUUGUUUAAUUAUAUGUUUAAGGUGAAUAUCCCUAUUUAAUCUUGAUUGUUAUUCUUAGGAGUUUUGAAAGGUGACCGGGUGCGAAUGGGUUCUGGUUUCAGUUGGAGGUUUACUCUACUACUUGAGGUGAGUUUCUCACUACACUGUGUAAUGUUGUGCAUUCUUUGCUUUAGCUCGUGUGUGUUAUAGUAUGUUUAUACGGGUAACACUAGAUUGGGUUAGUAUCUAGUGGGAGUAUGUUAUUUGUUCAUGUAUUGAAGAAUAUGUAUAGAAGGGAUCGACGUAUCCGAGCAGAGGAUCGGGCAUAGCCAGUGUGUCCCAAGGGGUCGACGAAUUGAGCAAGGGGGAUCGGGCAUGACCAAUGUGUCCCAAUGGGUUCGGGUGAUCGGGCUUAUCCAAUGUGCCCCAAUGGCUCGAUGUAUCGAGCAAAGGGGAUCAGACAUAACUAAUGUGUCCUAGUAGGUGUAUGUUGUUAUUGAUUCGCUCUUUGACAUGCAUACGUGUUUGUGUGGUUGAUAUUGUUGUUAUAUGUGUAUUAAGGGUAGAGCUUGUAUGAUAUAGACAUAUAGUAUUGUGUAUGUGUGAAAUCCCCUAAGCUUUGUGCUAUUCCCUUUUCCCUUAAAAAAAUACCAUUUCAGGAUUAACAUGUACUUAGGAUGGCAGGGUGUGAUAGUACACACCGGCUCAGUACGGAUUGAUGAAGUUUUCAUAUUACCUUGGAUUAUGUUUCUUUGAUUUUGGAAUUUAUAAUUAACAAAUGGUUUUUGAAAUUUAUUGAUCUUGGGAUUAUGGUUUUAAAACUUAUUUUGAAAAAAAGUCAUGGUUUUGAAUAUACUUAUAUUGUUUUUAGAAGUUCAAAUUUAUUGUAAAUUUUAGGAUGUUACACAAUUGUAUUGGAUUGAGUGCGAAAUUUGAAAAUCCAAUUGGAUUACUUGAAGGCAAUGUUACUUUGUUAGUCUUAUUUAGCAUAAUUGUGUGCGGUUUUAUUUUUAGUUAUCGUAGUUAUAUUUGGUUAUUCGAUAGAAAGAGAUUAGAAUUGGUUGGAUAAUGGAUAACUACUGAAUUAAACCAAUAAAAAAAUAUCCAAUAGAUAGAAUCGAUCUAAUCCAACAUCCAAUUGGAUCGAUUUGGUUUGAUUUUUUUAUGAUGAAUUGGAUUGGACCGGUUGACAAAUCCAACAUCUAAUGGAUGAUUAGAUUGGAUUGGUUCCAUCGAAAUCCAUUGGAUUUGAACCGCUGAUCACCCAUAAUUUGGUUAUUAUGUUUUUUUCAAUCAGCUGCUGGAACAUGAUGGUUCUAAAAACAUUUUGCAAAAAGGUAAGAAUCAGCCAUAAAGUCACAUUACCUUUCAUUGUUGAUGGUUGUGGAAUGUGAACUACUUUUUAUUAAAUUAUAAAUUAUCUAAGGAUGAAACUGCAUUUCCUUUCUUCAUAUCACUAUAACACAUUACAUUAUUUUUGUAUGUUUUUAUAACAUCAAAUCUUUGUUGUGAAACAAGGUUUAUUAUUAACAUGAGUUGGUUUGAGCUUUAACAAAAUUUUAAGAUAAUUAACUAUUUCAUACAAAUGAUUGUUCCAUGGAUUAUAUCAUUAUUAUUAUUAUUAUUAUUAUUAUUAUUAUCAUUAUAAAUCUUAUAAUAGAAGUCACUUGUGACAUAUAUCCUUAUUAUUAUCAUUAUCAUCAUUAUAAAUCUUAUAAUAGAAGUCACUUAUGACGCGGUUCAAGAUAACUCCCUAUAUUGAAGUGCAAAUAAUAAAGAUACGAAUGAUGGAUGUUACGUAAUAAGAUUAUAAUUUGAAAUAGUAUGCUAGAAAGUAACAUGACAAACAAAUCCUGAAACCGUAAACAACAAACAUACAAAAGCCAGUUUGGUAUCAAGAACAAGGUUGGACCGAAACCGUAAACAACAAACAUACAAAAGCCAGUUUGGUCCAAAACCCGAAACCCGAUUUAGUACCCGGAACUGGACCGGACCGAACCCCGACCCGCUACACCUAAAAACGGUCCAGUUCUCGGGUAAGGUAAUUCAUGGUUUUCGGUCUUCAGGCUGGUCCGGUUCGGGUUCUGCUCGUUGCUCUAUAUUGAACCAUAUUAAUUUGAAACUACGAAAACUCUUCGGCUUAUAUUUUAAGUUUCUAUUUGGUGUGUUAGCUGAAAAAACUAGUUUUUAACUUAUAAGCUAGUUUAUCCAUAAACUAUCUCGGAUAACUUAGACAAAACUGCAAAAUUGGUCCUUGUGGUAUGCAUUUUUUCUGAGGUUUAAUCCAAACCUCGAUUUUUUUGGAUUGGUGGUCCUUUUUGGUCCCUUGAAAAAUUGAAAAGACUAAAAUGCCCUUCUGAACAGUUUAUAUGUUAUUUUCUAUUUAAUUUAAAAUUAUAUUAAUUAAAAAUAUAGGGCCCACCUCUUUCUUUCUUUCUUUCUUUCUCUCUCUCUCUCUCUCUCUCUCUAUAUAUAUAUAUAGCCAUUUGGGUUUGUCUUUGACAAACAUCUAAUAACAUCUUCAUAAAUUCAAGAACACUCAAGAACAUCUUAUGCCAUCACCACCAUUCGACCACCGUCCUCCACCACCACUGUCUGCCACCUCCAUCUCCACCUGAACUUUUUAUACCACUUUAUAUCCGCCUAAAAUCAUCCCAAAAACAAAAAUCAUACACAAAAUAUGGGUUUGUUCUUGAGUUUCCCCUUAAAAAUAAUCACUAGAUCUGAUGCCUCAUCAAGAGCUCAUGAACACACACACCCACCCACAUUCAAGAACACAUUCAUGAACCCCAUAUCUGAUGAGCACACAAACACAAACACACAUUAUAUCAGAUCUGAUGAAGGGUUUUUGGAUGAACACAUUCAAGAACAAAUUUUUGAACCCUAGAUAUAAGGAACACACGAACAAAAUCAGAUCGAGUUCAUGGGUUCUCGGGUUCUUCAUCCAAAAAACAAAGAUCUAAAACCAAAACGAACAUUUGACCCCUCAGUGGCAGAUUUCUUCGUCCCCAUCUUCCAAAAACCCAUAUUGUAUGUGUGUAUUUUGUGACAUCCCCGAUUUCACGGCCACAAAAGACCGAUUUGAUUAUGAUUAUUUAAAUCAGAAUAUUCUUUUCAAAAGAGUAAUAAUGUGGAAUUUGUUCCAAAAAAUAUGACAAUAUCAUUAUUAAAGCAUUUCCGAGGAAAUGUAUUUCAUUUAUAUUUAAAAACCUUGGGAUGUCAUGGUCAAUACAACAACAUAAGCAUAAAACGUAAUAUUACAGGCCUUACAAUAGUUUAUUAUUCUAUUGGCCUAUUCUCCUUUAAAUCUCACUCCAAAUUUAAACUCAUCACACCUAUGCUCUUACGCUGCUACCUGUGAAACAAAGAAACUGAGUGGGUUAGGCUUCGGAAAGCCUGAUGAGCACAUAGGGUUUUCAACCCACAAUAAUUAAAUUUAUUAAUUUCAUCAAUCAAUCAACUCGGUUAUCCGUUCCCGUUAUCCUCACUUUUUGUCCCUAAAACAUCUAAAUUAAGGGACUUAGCCUAAGGAUUUUUCAUCGGGGUGACAGCACUGCAUAGGGGAUUCCUCAACAAUAUAUGUUAAAAGGCAACCAUAGGGGAAUGGAGUACAUCUGGUGAACAUUUAGUUCAAAAACACCUACAUGUUUCGAGCCUACCACCGUUCCACUAGACUGUCUAGAAUAGUUUGUGGUCGUCAUCUAUACUCCGCUAGAUGACUGGAUCAUCUUAAACACUCUAGGCCUAUCAUUAUUUAUUUUAUCAUCUAUAUCAUCUACCCAUCUUUACCCUUUAUAUUUAUAGGUACAAAAUACAUACAUAGUUUAAAUCGAAUAAAACAUGUAUAUUUUGUUCAUCCAACAUACAUAUCAAGAACACAGAUAAUAUACACACAUAACACGUAAUUUUUAUUAAAUACUUCAUAUUUAUGUAUAAGAUGAAAAUAACUAUGCACUCACUUGACUAGUUAGUGGUUACUAACUAUGUUCUUAAUCGUCGUUAUAUCACACUUUCUUUAUUUAUGACUCCUUGCUCGAAAAUUCUGAACUCUAAUUUCAAAAUUUCUGGCCCUUCUUUAUAUCGAGUAUAUCUUUGGCUAUUAUUGUUUUCUAUCAUAAGAAUUGCUCAAAGGAUACCUCUAUUUAUAUAAAGGAUUUUUGAAUCGCCCGUACAAUAUCAAAAGAUUAGUCACCCAAAAAAAUUACACGUAUAACUUCAAUAAAUUAGAUGUGUACGAACAUACUUGAAAGGUUAACACAUAUUCUUCUGAUAUUGACUCUAAAUUAGAAGGUGUAUUAUUACUUCUCUUUUGUCAACACAUAUCAUUUUAAUUAAUAAAAUAUGUACGACAUGUAUUAUAUUUCUUACAGGUAUGUUGGUUUGCAAUUUACAAAUCAAUUAUAGUUACAUUUAUGGUCCAUAAGUUAUUAUUGUAUUAACACAAUAUAUCAUUCAAGUUACACUGUAGUCCCUCAGCUGCAUGGAGCCCCUAAUAAGAAUAAAGAACAAGUAAGAGACGAUCACCCACUUAUUUGUUUGGAUCGGUCCGAUCCAAUCAAAUUAAGUAAAUUCAACUUAAUUCCGGUUUACAAAACAUUGAUUCAAAUAGUUCAAACUAAAUUCAAAUUCGGUAUGAAUUAAUCAAAUUACAAUUCGAUUUUCAAGAGUCGGAAUGUUUUAAAAUAGUUAUAAUUUGAAUAUUAGCUGACUUUAUAAAAGAAAUAUAAUCAAAUGGUUAGUUGUAAAUUAAAAUUUAUAAACUGUUAAGGAAAAUAUAUUUUGAUUCAUUAGAUAAAAAAAUCUUGAAAAAAAAAUACAUAUUAAGGUUUUUAUUAGGAGAGUGUUUCUAACCUAUUUAAAAAACAAUUCAGUAAAUUAAUAAAUAAUUAAAAGUAUAUAUUAAAAAUUAAAAUAUAUAUAUCUAUUCUAAUAAAUGAAAGUGUUUUUUGUCACAUGUUACACUCUCACUCAAUUUAUCAAAUGUCAUUUUGUGGUUAUUUUGAAUUAAUUUAUUUUUCCAAAUGUCAUGUUAUGUUUUUUUUUUUAUUUUAAUAAAGUUCACAUAAUAUUUAAAUGUAAUAAUUACAAUAAAUUUAGUAAUAAAUAAAUAUAAAUUUCAUUAAUGGAUAAAAAAAUCAAUUUUAAAAGAUAAAAAAAAUCAAUUUUUAUAAUUCAUUAUUUUUUUUUUAUAAAUUCAAAGUUCUUAAAUAUUUAGACAUUUAUAAUUAAUUUUUUUGAUUAACUCAUAUAAUCCAUGAGUCUUAUAGUUUACAAAAUAUUUAUCAAAUAAAGAUAUACUUGCAUGCUGUAAGAUAAUUUUUUUUACUAAUUUACCACCCCGGCCUUUCUAACAAUAAUUUGUAUUAUAUAAAAGACAAUGUUUUCUAAAUAAAUAAAAGAUAUUAGUUUAUUUUAUAUAUAGACAACCACAUAUCAUUUCCAUAUAUAACAUGAUGGUUGUUCAGAUCCGUGAUUAUUUAAUUUAAACUAUUAAAUAUGUAUUUUAUGAGUCGGUGAUUUCUAACACUAUUAAAAAAAGGGACAUUGUAACGAAACUAAAAGGCCGAGUUUCCUGUAAGCAGCUGACUGAAGCCAGACAGUCAAGCCAAGCUGAUUCUCCCCGCUCUCGACCAAAAUCUAUUACUAUUUUCAUCAUCACCGACACCCUCCCCCUCUCUUUUCUUAACAAAUCAAUACAAAUGAUUAAUAUGCAGUAAUCAUCGAAAGUGAGAUCAAGAAUGGGCCCUUUUCUUCUCACGCCAAUGCCCAUCAAACUUCAUUGAUUAUCAAGUUCCUUCAAAUUCAAAUCAAGAACGAAAAAAUCAAUUUCUAUCAUCUGGGGCUCUUCUUUAGUCCCCUGUUUCUACUUUAAUUGGAAUACAUGGAGGCAAAUGCAGGAUUAGUUGCCGGAUCUCAUAAGAGGAACGAGUUGGUGAGAAUAAGACAUGAUUCCGAUGGAGGGGUAUGUGUUCUUUCGAUUUUUCUUGAAUACCCUUUUGGAUUUUGAGUGUUCAGAAAUCAAUUUUAUCGACUCUUGUAUAGAUCUAAGUGAUUUAACAGUAGGCUAUUUUGUUUAACCCAAGUUUGUUUAUUUUGUUUGGAUCUGAGUGAUCAGUGUGACCAGUGAGCUCAGUAAUGAGUGAUGAUACGACUUUUGACUUAUUAAUCCUACCUUUUUGUUAAAUCUUCAAAGAGGGUUUUUUGUUAAAUUUGUGGAUUUAGAUCUGAAUCAUCGAGAUGAAAGUUUCUGUUUUCAGCGCCCAUCUUGAUUAAUUUGACAAAAUUUUCAGCUUUAGCACAUGAUGAUUUCUUAAAUUAUUUAAUUUUGAUUGUGACGUUGAGUGUUGAUGAUGCAGCCGAAGCCUUUAAAGAAUAUGAAUGGACAGAUAUGUCAAAUCUGUGGCGACACCGUCGGCCUGACUGAAAACGGCGACGUUUUUGUUGCUUGCAACGAGUGCGCAUUCCCGGUUUGUAGACCCUGCUACGAGUACGAAAGAAGAGACGGAAAUCAAGCAUGCCCUCAAUGCAAAACUCGAUACAAAAGACACAAAGGUUAGUUUUUGAGUUUUUGUUCGUAUCAAGAACACAUCAAACAUAUGAUUUUUGUAAGAAUUAAAGAGAGAUACAAAUGUUUUUAGGGAGUCCCCGAGUUGACGGUGAUGAUGACGAGGACGAUGUUGAUGACCUGGAAAACGAGUUUGAUUAUGCACAAGGGAGACGACAAUGGCAAGGAGAAGAUCCGGAUCUUUCUUCAUCUUCUAGAAGACAUGAAUCACAGCAACCAGUUCCCCUUCUCACUAAUGGCCAACAAGUAAGAAAAUUACUUAUAUACCCUUUUGUUCUAAGCAUUACCUUUUUAACUAAAUUCAGAGUGUUAUUUUCAGGUAUCUGGUGAAAUCCCAAUUGCCACACCGGACAAUCUAUCUGUAAGAAGUACAUCGGGUCCAUUAGGCCCUGGUGACAAGCCUGUCCGCUAUAUGGAUCCAAGACAACCAGGUUACUUUCUUUUUUUUUUUUUUUUUUUUUAAAAAAAAAGUAUUAUUAUUAAUCAGAUAAUGUUGUAGUAAUUAUGCUAAUGAUGCCCUUUUAAUAAAUAGUUCCUGUAAGAAUUGUGGACCCAUCAAAGGAUUUAAAUUCAUAUGGGCUUGGGAAUGUGGACUGGAAGGAAAGGGUAGAAGGCUGGAAACUAAAACAAGACAAAAACAUAAUGCAAAUGGCAAACAGAUACAAUGGCGGUGAAGGGAGAGGAGGUGAGAUUGAAGGCACGGGAUCAAAUGGAGAAGAAUUGCAACUGUAAGUAGUAAACUAAAGGGUACUUUAGGAAUAUCAUAUUUGUCGACUUAUGAUUUGACUUUUUUUUUUUUUUUUUUUUUUUUUUUUUUUUANUUUGUUUUGUUUUUUUUUUUUUUUUUUUUUUUUUUUUUUUUUUUUUUUUUAAAUAUAUAUAGGGUUGAUGAUCCAAGACAAUUAAUGAGCCGUGUGGUGCCUAUUUCAUCUUCUCAUUUGACUCCAUAUCGAGUUGUGAUUAUAUUGCGAUUGAUUAUUUUGGGAUUUUUCUUGCAAUAUCGGUUGACUCAUCCUGUUAAUGAUGCGUAUCCUUUGUGGCUUGUAUCUGUUAUUUGUGAGGUGUGGUUUGCUUUUUCUUGGCUUCUUGAUCAAUUUCCAAAAUGGUCCCCCGUUGAACGUGAGACCUUCCUUGAUCGCCUUGCAUUGAGGUAAGUAAGUAAUGGGAUUUAGAUUUUGGGCUAAUUGCAAGAAAUAGCAAUGUACUUUCAUUUGUAGUCAUCAUCAUGGGCAAUUAGGUAAUUUUAGCUUAAACAAUGAAAAUUUGUUGUUUUGUAGGUUUGAUAGGGAAGGAGAGCCUUCACAAUUGGCACCUAUAGAUGUCUUUGUGAGUACAGUGGAUCCAUUAAAAGAGCCUCCUCUCAUCACUGCAAACACAGUGUUGUCUAUUCUUGCUGUGGAGUAUCCUGUUGACAAAGUCUCCUGCUAUGUAUCUGAUGAUGGAUCUGCUAUGCUUACAUUUGAGUCUCUUUCUGAGACAGCAGAGUUUGCAAAAAAGUGGGUCCCAUUCUGCAAGAAGCAUAGCAUCGAGCCCAGAGCCCCUGAGUUUUAUUUUGCUCAAAAGAUAGAUUACUUGAAGGACAAGAUCCAGCCUUCUUUCGUCAAAGAACGUAGAGCAAUGAAGGUGAGUUUUACCACUUUUAUGUUUUAUGUUUUAUGAUUUCUUCCAGUGUUUUACCAAAUACCUAAAACACCCUUUUAUGGCAGAGAGAAUACGAAGAAUUCAAAGUUCGGGUCAAUGCACUUGUAGCAAAAGCACAAAAGAUGCCGGAAGAAGGCUGGUCUAUGCAGGAUGGAACUCCUUGGCCUGGAAACAACCCCCGUGAUCAUCCUGGAAUGAUUCAGGUAUUUGAAUGAUUGUUUGGUUGCUGAAAAUUUGUAUAUCAACAGUUGAUUGUUGACUUCUCUUGUUUAUGAUGAUUGGAAUUGGAUAGGUGUUCUUGGGGCACAGUGGAGGUUGCGAUACAGAUGGAAAUGAGCUACCUCGUCUUGUUUACGUGUCCCGUGAAAAACGUCCUGGGUUUCAACAUCACAAGAAAGCCGGUGCCAUGAAUGCUUUGGUAUGGAUCUCUUAAAAAAACAUGGAAAUUUUUUGUGUUUAUUGGUUGUUUAUGGAUGCGAUGCAAUUUGGUGUUACAGAUUAGGGUUUCGGCGGUUUUGACGAAUGGCGCGUACCUUUUGAACGUCGAUUGUGAUCACUACUUCAACAACAGCAAAGCUCUAAAAGAAGCCAUGUGUUUCAUGAUGGAUCCUGCCUAUGGAAAGAAGACAUGCUAUGUUCAAUUCCCACAGAGAUUCGACGGGAUUGAUUUACACGAUCGAUAUGCUAAUCGCAAUAUCGUCUUCUUCGAUGUGCUUUUCUGAACUUUACAGAGUCAAACUUAAAAAAAAAAAUUCAAAUUCAAAUUCCGAUCUUGUUGGGAUUUCAAAAAUCAAAAAUUGACAUUUCUAUAUAUAUAUAUUUUGUACAGAUUAACUUGAAAGGGCUGGAUGGGAUUCAGGGGCCGGUUUACGUGGGAACUGGUUGCUGUUUCAAUCGACGAGCUCUGUAUGGAUACGACCCUGUUUUAACAGAGGCUGAUUUAGAACCAAAUAUCAUUGUGAAAAGCUGUUGUGGUUCACGAAAGAAGUCGAGAAACGUUAACAAGAAGUACGUGGAUAAAAAAGCAGUGAUGAAAAGAACGGAAUCCAACACUCCAAUUUUAAACAUGGAUGAUAUCGAUGAGGGUGUUGAAGGUUUGAUUUUGAGUCUUUCACUUUAGUUUGUGGGUCCAGUGAAUCAUUAAUGUUGACUAAAUUCUUUUGUUUUUGAAAGGGUAUGAUGAAGAUAGAUCGUUACUAAUAUCGCAAAAGAGCUUAGAGAAGCGAUUUGGUCAAUCUCCUGUAUUUGUUGCUGCAACUUUCAUGGAGAUGGGAGGAAUUCCCCCCACUACCAAUCCAGCUACCCUUUUGAAGGAAGCAAUACAUGUUAUUAGCUGUGGUUAUGAGGAUAAAACCGAGUGGGGUAAAGAGGUAAUUUUACCCUUCUAGCUUCCGAUUCUUGUUAUACAUGGUCAUCGGAAAAACAAUAAUCUUCAUGUUAUUUUGUUUUGUGUACAAAUGCAAGCAGAUUGGAUGGAUUUAUGGGUCUGUGACAGAAGAUAUUUUAACUGGAUUCAAGAUGCACACAAGAGGAUGGAUCUCAAUAUAUUGCAUGCCACAACGUCCGGCUUUCAAGGGUUCUGCUCCGAUCAAUCUUUCCGAUCGUCUGAACCAGGUCCUCCGGUGGGCUUUAGGUUCAAUCGAGAUUUUACUCAGUAGACAUUGCCCCAUCUGGUAUGGGUAUAAUGGUAAAUUAAAACUCCUGGAGAGGCUCGCAUACAUAAACACCAUCGUCUAUCCCCUCACCUCCAUCCCUCUUCUAGCCUACUGUGUACUUCCGGCCGUCUGCCUUCUCACCGGAAAAUUCAUCAUCCCCGAGGUACGUUAAUCAUGCUUUAUGAGUUGUACGAUAUGCAUGAAUGUUUGUACAUGUUGAAAAUUGGGGGUUUUGCAACAGAUAAGCAACUAUGCUAGUAUGUGGUUUAUUCUUCUCUUUAUCUCCAUCGCUGCAACCGGAAUCUUGGAGCUCCGGUGGAGUGGCGUGAGUAUUGAAGACUGGUGGAGAAACGAACAGUUUUGGGUGAUAGGAGGCACGUCCGCUCAUCUAUUCGCCGUCUUCCAAGGUCUUCUCAAAGUUCUCGCCGGAAUCGACACCAAUUUCACCGUCACAUCCAAGGCAAACGACGAAGACGGUGAUUUUGCAGAACUCUAUAUAUUCAAAUGGACGGCGCUCCUCAUCCCACCCACCAGUGUUCUGAUCGUAAACCUAAUCGGCAUAGUUUCCGGCGUUUCAUCUGCAAUCAACAGCGGUUACCAGUCGUGGGGCCCACUUUUUGGGAAACUGUUUUUUGCAAUCUGGGUUAUCGUCCAUUUAUACCCGUUUCUCAAAGGUCUGUUGGGUCGGCAAAAUCGAACCCCCACCAUUGUUAUCGUGUGGUCGAUUCUGCUUGCUUCGAUUUUCUCCCUUUUGUGGGUUCGUAUCGACCCCUUUACCACAGACGAUACUCUUGAUGCAGUUAAAGGACAAUGCGGGAUCGAUUGUUAGGUAUAUAUAUAUAAAGUUUCUGAUUUGCAAAUUUGUGUAAGCCGUGAUGUGAUGCGAUGUGAUGUGUACGAAUGAUAUAAUUAUUUGAUUUAUUGUUGUUAUCCCACGAAUUCAAUGAAAAAUUUAAGUAUAACCUUAUCUUAAUAUGUCGGUUCAUUACAUUCAAUUAAGUUGAGUUGUAUGCAAAUUUCUUGUUAUUAUACAGUAUAUUACAAAAUUCAAACACUAUCUUCUUCAUAUUUAAUUUCAUGAAUUUAGUCUUCAACAAGUACAUAUAUAUAAAACAAAACAUGAAAUUCCAUACACACCAAGGUUCAUGUCAGAUCCUGAAACAAAAGAUUAAAGAAAAUAAAGUUAGAUGGUUGUAAAUUGUAACCUAAUGAAAUAUAAGAAAAGUUGGGGUUUUACUUACUCAAUAUAUUCAACGUUGAUUUUCUCCCUUUGAGACUUGGAAAUGGCAGAAAAAGCAUCAUUUGACAAAACAAUAGUCGAAGGACACGGCCUUUUGGAACAAAAAUCUACCACCUUAACAUCAAUGGUACCAUCUCUACAUGGUUUAUUAUUUCCACUCAAACACUUGAGUCUGUAUCGCCUACCACAUGCUGCACCGUUAUCCCAUAGUCCUUCGCUCACUGACACAAAUAAGUUCCCCAAUGGGAAUUGAUCUGCUCGGUUGCCAUUGCACCUUGUGGCUACAUUAAAAAUACAUAUAAAAAAAAAUACUUCAAUUUAACUAUUAUUUAUUUAUUUAUUUACAAUGUCAAAAACAUAAUAAUUAGAAUCAUAUUUAAACUUACGUGUAUAAGGAGGCUCAUAGGAUGAGGCAGUGCCAAUUUCACUCAAACCACACUUGAUGUUAUUGAAGAUUAACAAUAAAAAUAAAUUCACAAUCACUCCAAUUCCCAUCGCUACAAAUUCCCUUUUCUUUUUUCUCUCUCUCUGUCAAAUACUAUGGUAGUAAGAUGCACCCCCUUGGAUUAUAUAUAGAUAUCGUAUGGAUUUAUUUAAAAGAUAUAGGUAUAGUUUGAGAUAUAUUGUCACGUGUUUUUUAAUAGAAAUGUGCUUAGCAUGUAUAUAGAAUGAAUGAAAAGUUGGUGAUCAAAUUGGAUAAACUAUAGAUGUUUAAUGUGAUAUAUAUCUACCUUUGCGCAUGAAAAAUGGAUUUAAUAGGUUUUGGUCAAUUGUGAUAUAAAGUUCUUGAUGCCUACCACUAAUUAGUUUAAGGAAAGAUGGUUUCUAACGUAAACAUAAAACAACUUUUCUAUCGUCUCUUUUAAACAGAAAAAAUAGUCAAUUUUGACAAUGGCACAAAAAGGCAAUGGAAAAGCAUAUGUAAGGAUUAUUAGAUAAAACGAUAGUGUUUUAAUGGAGAAAAAUUAUAUUUUCGGUGAAUUUUUUUUAGUUGAUAAACCCAUUGUUGGUGUCGAAUCUAUGAAAUUAUUUUGGCUUAUACGUCGGCUGACCGAUAUGAUUACCAAAGAAAGGUGCAUCCAGUACAAUCACCACUAACUAAAACCAAUGGCUCUAAACUGUUCGCAAUUUUUUAAGGAAGGGAAAUUCAUAUUUGAAUUCGUCACUACAAAGUGUUACAUGAUUCGUUAUUAAUAAAUAUUUUAUAUUACCUUUUAUCAUAUAAAUAAACAAUCCAAAUUUUAUUUUUAGAUGCAUAUUUCACAAAGCUUUUGUGUUUUUUUCGGUUCAAGUUUGUGUUAAAGUAAUUCAAUAUAGAUGGAGAAUGUCGUUCAAUAAAAGUAGUUUGUGUUAAAGUAAUUCUAUACAGAUGGAAAAUGAUGUUCAAUAAAAGUUUAGAAUAUCAGAUAAUCAAAAUUAGUUUGUCGAUAAGAUUUAUUAUUUUAAAAGAUGGGAUAUAUAUACUAAACUCUCAAUAUUUUUAACGAUUCAACAAAAAAGUCUUAAAUUUUAUUUUUUUAGAGUAAAAUCCUAACUAGCGGCAGUUUUUGACAUGUUUACCAUUUUUUGCCAGUUAGCCAGUAAUUAUGGUUUUACUAUAAAAAAAUAAAAUUUAUGACUUUCUUUUUCAAAUCGUGAAUUAAGACAUUACUGUAAAAAAAAAUUAAAGUUUAGGACUUUCUUAUCAAAUCGUUAAAAAUAUAGGGACUUUAGUGUAUAUAUCCAUUUUUUUGUUAGAAAUUUAAUGUCAUUAUAAUCUUUAAGUAUAAGAGUUAUUGAAAUCUGACCAAUAUGCUCUGGUCAACUAGAUUCUAUUAAAAUCAUUAACGUUUGAUUCUUGUUAAAUAGUUUUUUUUUAAUCUCAACAAAUCGACAUUGAAAAAAAUAAAGAUAAUCAAGAAAGAAAGAACCACGAUUGUGUUGAAUUUUUGCAUAAUGAUAAUCAAGAAAGAAAGAACCAGUAUCGUGUUGAGUUUUUUGCAAUCCUAAAAAUGGAGAAUUAAGAAACCGGAAAAGAAGAAAUUGUCCUUCUUACACAUUCUCCACAUUCACACAUUUUUUACCGGACAUGUGUUGUUUGUGUUUGUUGAAUUUGUUCCUCUUUUCAGUUCAAGAUUUGACGGCGAACCAAGAAAAAAGUUUUACAAGUCUUCUUACCCUCUAUCGUUCUCUCUUUUGCAUCAGUUUCCCAGAUUGUGAUCGUAGCAAAGUAAGAUGAUGAUGGUAAGAAAAAACAAUGGUGUUGCAAUAAAAAUCACAAUUAAAAGUUCUUGGGAUAGGAAUUAGGUCUCAUGAGACUGAUAAAAUUAUUUGUUUCUAGGGAAACCAAACCUAUACACUAAAGUCUCAAUAUUUUUAACGAUUUAACAAAAAAGUCAUAAACUUUAUUUUUUUGACAGUAAAACCCUAAUUACCGGCUAACCGGCAAAAAAGAGUAAAUGUUUCAAAAACUGUCGAUAAUUAGGAUUUUACUGUCAAUUGAUUUUAAUAUUUUCAUGCAAAAGACAACUGUAUUACGAAAGAAAUAACUGUUAACCGUAACUACAAUAAGGUAUUAAAGUUAUAGAAGUUUCAAUCCUAAUAACGCAUAAUUUUCACUUUUGGUUUAAUAUGUUUAUAUUAUUUAUCUAAAAAACAAAAUCAUAAUAAAUAUAUUUUGAUUAAAUGUCACAGAAAAACCACGCCCAUGUCAAUUUUGAUUGUUACAAAAUGACAAUUUUUUUGAAAAGAGAUAUCAUACCGUAUUAAUAAGGUGGUGUUUGUUUUUUUUUCAAAAGCUCUUCUAGACCUUUUAUGUCUGCAUCGCGUAGACGACCCACAAACUUUUAGUCCUAUAGACUGUUUGUUUUUUAGAAGACCGUACGCAUAAAAAAAUCUGUCCAUCCUCUUCUUGACGUAGAUGUGAACAUAUGUCUUCUAGUCUCUUUCUUAAUCUUUCCACUAAUCUUAAGAGACAAUAAAAAAGCGCAAAAAGAAUAAAAAAAUGAAAAAAAAAACCUAUCAAACCUCAUUCGUGCACCUUUUUUUUUAAUUCAUUUGCCAUGUAAACACUUUGUAAAUAUAUUAUUUUAAUGAUUUUAGCUUUAUAAACUUUAUUUGGUCAAAUAAUUUUUUGGUAUUCAUAUUUUAAAAAACUUUAUGCAUAUUUAUCCGAUGACUUUUUAUAACAGUAAUUAAAAAAGUUAAAUAUACUACAAAACUUAUGAAAGUAUUUUACGAACGUGUUUUUUUUCUUCAUAAAAUGGACAAUUAAUUUGUUAUAUAUAUAUAUAUAUGCUUAUUAUAUGAUAACUAGGCUCGUGCGUGUGAACAAGUCUCCGUUUGCCACCUAGCACGGUAUCUNNNNNNNNNNNNNNNNNNNNNNNNNNNNNNNNNNNNNNNNNNNNNNNNNNNNNNNNNNNNNNNNNNNNNNNNNNNNNNNNNNNNNNNNNNNNNNNNNNNNNNNNNNNNNNNNNNNNAUAUAUAUAUAUAUAUUGAAAAUAAGGUGGUUGUAUUAUUAAAUUACAAUGUUUUUAUAUAAGAAAUAUUGAAAAAGUCUUUUAAAUUAAAAAAAAAAUCAAUUUAUUUAGGUUUUAAUUUAUUUUAGCAGUUUGUAGAUUUUAAAAAACAAACAGUCUUCUUGCAGACUGCAGACGUUUGGUCCAUAUCUUCUACUGCAGAUGUCGUCCGCAGACUGCAGACAUUUUGCUUCUGAAAAACAAACACCAUCUAAGUUUCAAACGCAUAAACAUUUAUUAACAAAAGACAUGUAAACGUGGAUUAUGAACUAAUGACAUAGAUAUACGAUAAGUACUAUAAAGAGGAAAAAGCAUAGUUAAGAUUGACCCAAAUUGUAAUGAUUAUAGUCUUGCUAAUGUAAAUAUUUAAUUAGUUUUUCUUGAUAAUCAUGAUAAAUGAUACUUUUUGACUCAUGAGUGAUGAAUAAACAAUAGUAUAUAUAGAUUUACUAAGACGAAAAAAGACAUGAGUUUUAAUGAUAGAAUAUUAUUGAAAAAAUAAUAAAGAAUAUGAUCAACUUUAAAUUAGUGCCCGGAUAAAAUCGAAGUUUUAGAAAGUGCUGAUUAGUGGCGAUCCUUCAUUUUUUUAUAACUUUAUUUCAAAUUAAUGGUAAUCAUGUAUAAUAAUUAAUAAACUUACAAUACGCUAAUAUACAUUACAAUCAUUUUCAUCCUAUGUGAAAAUAAUUUUUGACAUAUUAUUCGUUUUCAAAUUAUAUAGAUGCAUAGGCAAUAAUAUGUCUUUUAUGUGAAAUAAUGUGUGUUUUUUUUAUGUGAAAACAUGUUUUUUAUAUAUAAAAAUAUAUUUUCACAUAAAAAAAACCUGUUAUGCAAAAAACCUUUUGGACCAAAUUUAUAUAGAAACAUAUUUUUCACAUAUAAAAACCUUUUUAUAACAAAAAUGUUUUGUAAAAAAGGUUUUUAGUAUAAAUAUGAUUUUAUAAAGCAAAAAUAACAUAUUUCGAAACAAAAUUUUGGAAAAAUAUAUGUAAAAAAAACAAAAUUUAAGAUGAAAUUGUAACAAAAUUUUAAAAUAGGGACAAAAAUAUAAAAAUUGGACCAAAUUUAUAACAAAAUUUAAAAUCUGAGAAAAAAAUGUAAAUUUUAAAACUGGGAUGACCUUAUAGCCGGGAAAAAUGAUGAAAAUGAAUAUAUUUACCUGUAUUCGUAUCUUAAUUAAAAAAAUAAUAAUUUAAAUACUUAAUUGAAUAUAAGGUUAAAAAUAUAAACACUUUAUAGAUUUUCCUAUACUAAAUACUAUAGCAAAAUAUGUGGAAUUUGGUAUUUAGUAACUUUGGUCUCACUUUUGUUAAAUUUCUAUUUUCUAUCAUUUUACUUUUUGAAAAUUCGUUUUUACCUCUCGAUUUUUCUACUUAUUAACUUUGGUCCAUCACUUUUGUUAAGUUCUCAAAUUUUCAUCCUUUUUACUUUUGAAAUUGUUGCUUUUACCCCCUUUAACUUUCAACUUUCUAGAUACUCAACUCACUCAGCAUGAAGUAUAAGAAAAAAGAGAAGAGAGAGAGAGAGAGAGAGAGAGGAAGCAGCGGGCUGAAGAACCCACAUGAGACGUCUUCUGGCGGUAACCACCAAGGCGUGGAUUUGUUACCCUAGCCGUCGCACGACUCCGUGCACCCUUGGAGAGUAAUCAGUGUUAAAACACUAAGUUGCUUGAAAUAAGGAAUUUGAAGUUAAAUUGAAAAUUUAAAUGUAGAUACGAAAACACAUCAUCUUGCUAACUUGACAACUUAACGCCAUCUUAAGUGGAUACCAUAGAAUGACCCACGAGUGGCGAAUUUAAAAAAAGAAUCACAUGGUUCCUAAUUAAGUGAAGCCAAUAAAAAAAAUCAACAAUACUUUUGGAGUCGGGUCAGGUCGGCUCAUGUACCUUAAAAGAACUGAACAAGUUCAAUCGGCUCAUGUACCUUGUAACGACCCGUCUCUGGUAUGUUGUUUCCAUGUUAUUUAUUUAGAAGUUUUCAAGAGGGACUCGGGGAGUCUAUAGCCCGACUCGUCGAGUAGAGACGGGAUUUCGAGCACGUGUAAGUCGCCGACUCAACGAGUCCAUAUUCGAGACUCGGCGAGUCCGCCUGCUAGGAAGAAACCCUAAAUCCCCGGGUUUGCUCACUAUUUAAGCAAUGUUAUGUGCCCCAAACUCGCCUCCUUCACCCUCAGAGAGCUUGAGAGAAACCCUAAACCAUUCCUUGUAUGACUAAAGUGUUUUGUGUGGAUUCUUGAAGGAAAAAGAAGAAAGGACCCAAAAAGAGGAAGUGUAGAGCAAAGAUCCAAGGCCAAAGUCAGAGUUCAUUGAGGUAUGUCUCGGAAUUAUUCUGUUUUGUGCUUAAAACCUCCAUUAGAACACCUCUAAGGCUAGUUUAAUGUAUUUUCCAAGCUUUAUAGUUGUAUGGAUGCCUUGUUGGGUCGAGAUAUCCCUAGAUCUGUUCAUUUAGGAGUUUUAGAGCCCUGAUCUAGUGCCUUUUCGAAGUUUCUUUGCUUGAGAACCCUAGAUCUAGCCUUUAUUAUGCUUUUUGAGCCUUUUAAUCUUCAUGGGUGCAUAUGGGCACGUAAAGAUAGAAUCUUUACGUGUUAAUCGAGCUUAGGGAGCCCAGAUCUAUAAGUUUUAUGCGUUGGAUUCAAGCAGAAUCGAGUUUAUAGUAGCUGCAUGCAUGCGACUCGGCGAGUCGUUCUUCCGACUCGGUGAGUCGAGUCGUGAGUCCCCGAUUUUUCCUCUUUUGAGUAAUGCCGAGUGGGGACCAGUGAGUAGUAGAGUGGACUUAGUGAGCUGGAGGUCAGACUCAGUAAUGGAGGGACUCGACGAGUUGUUCAUACAACUCGGCGAGUCCAAGGCAAUCUUCUUAGCUCAAGAACAACUCGUCGAGUUGUUCAUACGACUCGGCGAGUCGGAUGCAGAUAGCUUGAGUUCUAGAAUCGAAAGGAAACUCGUCGAGUUUAUGCCAUACUCGACGAGUAGCAGCGAGUAGGGUUGAGAAGUGAGAAUAGGGACUAGGCGAGUUGGCGGCCCAACUCGGCGAGUCAGGUCAACUGUAGGUUGACUUUGACCAGGAGAGUUGACUUUGACCAGGGGUAAAAGAAUCAUUUUACCCCAAUACAGUGAUUAGUAUUUGAUUGAGUGUGUUUAUGGAAUUGUAGCCGGAGAGAUACCAGAGCAGCAGCAGAUAGCUUCCAGAGCCAUACAUUCAGCAGCCAGUUUACGAGGUGAGUUUCCUACCAGUAGGAACGGGUCUACGACAACAAUGCCGGCCCGUUUAGCUAGCAGUUAGUUCCGGACUUCGGUCCGAAGCAGUAGUUCAAGGUGCUUGAUGUUGUGUUUCGGGCAUGUCUAUGUGUUAUGUUAGCAGAUACGUGUUUAUGUUAUGCUAUGUUCAGACAGUUCCGGAUUUCGGUCCGAUGCAGCUAGUUCCGGACUCCGGUCCGAUGCAGGGGACAAGGUCCCAGUCAGUUCCGGAUUUCGGUCCGAUGCAGACAGUUUCGGACUUCGGUCCGAUGCAGUCAAUUCCAGACUUCGGUCCGAUGCAGUGGGCAAGGCCCAGUAUGUGCUUUAUUUGUUAUUGUGUGGUAUGCGGUAGUUUAGGGGAGCUCACUAAGCUUCGUGCUUACAGUUUCAGUUUUGGUUUCAGGUACUUCCGCAAGUAAAGGGAAGAACUCGGGAUGAUGCAUCGCACACACCACAACUUCAGUUUUUGUCGUGGGAGUUGAUUCAGUUUCUUAGAUAUGUUUUGAUACUGUUGUGACACAUUUUUUCUCACAGUAUUUUAUUAUGUGAUACUCAGUUUUAUGAUCUUUGUUAUAAUAUAAAUGAAAUUAUCGGGUCGUAUUUUUGGGAUGUUUCAAGUACCUUGUGCCACCGAUUAAAAAAAUUUUAAAAACCGAUUGAAAUAUAACUGAAAAAGACAUACAGCUUAACGAAAAACUAGUUGAUUAUUAGUCCAUUGAUAAAGCGGCGAACGCAGAGUGAGAGUCUUUGGCAUGUGGGCUUUCAUUUUAUUAGAACAACUUGUUUAUUUAUUAAUAUUUUGAGAGUGCCGAUUAAGAGUAGUUAACUUUUUAUUAUCAAUCUCAUAAUUUAAAAUAACAAAUUGUCCCUAAUAACUUAUAUUUUUCUCUUUUUAAAGUGGUUUUUUUUUUUAAAAAUAAAAAUAAAAAUAAACUCAAUGUAGGUUCUCUAUUUUUUUAAGACUAAAUUACACAGAUGGUCCCUGUGGUUGGCACGAGAGACCAAAGAUAGUCCUUAUGAGGAAUUUUGGACUUGUAUGGUCCCCGUGGUUCCAAAUUGUUGCACGAAGAGUCCUUAUGACAUACUCCGUUUAAUUGUUGUCGUUUAUUUAAAUCACGUAACCCUCACACGAGGGUAUUUUGGUCUUUUGCUUAUCCCUUCUCUCUCUCAUAUCUUUAUAUGAUCUGCAAAAGAUUUCCCUUCCCUAUAAAAAUUAAACCCCCAUCACUUCCUUCAUUAUUUUUCGUCUCCUCUAUUCUCUCUUCUCUCUUCUCUCUGCUGUGUCUUUCUAAGAAACUUUGCUUAAGAAUGGUAAAUUGUUUUUGUGGAACGCAAGCGGUGAUAGUGACAUCAUGGAUGGAUCUCAACCCAGGUUGUAUGUUUUGGAAAUGUCCUAGCAGUUGCGGUUUCAUUGCCUGGUUUGAUGAGCCGAUGUGUCGAAGGGUUGUGGCUGUCAUUCCAGGUUUGCUAAGAUCCAUGAACAAGCUUCAAGAAUCUCUGCUGCAAGCAAGUUUUGAAGCAAAAAAAGUGAAGAUGAUGCUAGUUUUUAGUUGGGUUUUCUUUUUCAUGUAUGUGUAUAAAAGAUGCUAAUAGUAUUAGUCUGGAGAUGAUGGUUCUUUUGCUUGUGGGUAGAUGAUGGUUCUUUUGCUUGUGGUUAGAAUCAGAUAAUAGUAUUAAUUUGAAGAUGAUUUCGUUUUGUUUGUUUGUGAUGCAAGAAAUGUUCGUAUGUAUGAAUGGAAUGCUUUUUAUUUGGGAAACUUUUAGUCUGCUACCAUUGUAAAAUAUUGGUCAGGAACUUAAUGAGUGUAAAAUAUUGGUCUGCAACUUAAUGAACCGUGCAGAUCCAUUAAAGUAUAAAAUAUGAAAGUGAAAGGUUUUUGUAGGCUUUAGACCAUUGUAGAGCCAUAACAACAUUAGAAAUGUUCAAAAAUAAAAUGCAAACUUUUGCAUAGUCAUAAAGUUCAUUACAUAACCUUAAAGUGCAAAGUCAUAAUACCAAAAAAAUAUCAAAAGAGCUUGCAGACUAAUGUAUCAUAACCAAAAGAACCAUCUUAGUCUAGCACCCUGUGUGAACCAUAAUACCAACAAAAGAUAAAGACACACAAUAACCAACUUAGUCUGACCUUUCUAAGGUACCAAAACAAACAACACAAAAGACCUUUCUAAGGUUCCAUAACAAACAACACAAAAGACAACAAAUCAAACUUUUUCCUUCAUUUUGGAUUUAUCCUUAAGUUUGGUUUUCUCCUUCAUUUUGGGUUUCUCCUUUUUUCCAUCUCCCUGCUUCUUUGCCUUGCUAAGCUUCUUGCCCCCUGCCACCACAUUUCUAACUUCAGUUUGUCCCCCUUGUCCCUUGCAACUCCUAGAGUUGUGACCCUUGUUAUUGCAUUUGCUACAAGUAACUGUAAGGAACUUCUUGGUCAAACUUUUACCUUGAUUAUUUGGUUCUUCAGUUUGAGCUCUCUUUCUCUUCUUUUUUGGUCUCCCCACCUGCAUAAUUAAUAAAUUAUAAAACAGUAUAAACGUAUACUAACUUGUAAAUUGAAAAUUAUUUACCUGUUUAGUAUGCUUAGGAGGUGUUAGUGUUAUGGGGAAAUCUGACUUUGGCCACAUACUUCUUCCAUUGAUAGGUUGAACUUUGUACUUGUACAUUUCAUUCCAUGUGCUUAACCUAUAACAUGGAUGUACCCACUCCUCAAGAGGUGGGACAUUUUUUCCCAGUGCCUGCAACUACAAUUCCUGUCCCUCCAAUUAACCACAAAUUGUUCCCCCAUUGUCCCAGUAACUUGAGUCUUAUCAGCACCAUUAAAUAUGCAAGUGUAUUGAGAAGCAUCUUUCUUAACUCCAUCUAAAAGUUUUGUGGCUGGGGGGGGGAGAGGGGCNUUAUCUAUCACAUUUUGCACAAUACAAAUUCGUUUCAUUAAGUAUUCCCUAAUAUAUUCUAAACAUGUAAUUAUAGGUUUGUCUCGAGCAUCUAACAACUUUGAGAUGAAAACUUCACAUAAAUUAUUCAACAAAAUAUCUGUAUGUGCUCUUCCUGUACAAUGCAACAAAAUAUCUUAUAAGAAUCUGUCAAAGUGUAAAUCUUCCUUGAAUCUGUCAAAGUGUCUAACUGUUGUUGCUGUUGCACAUUCCCAUAAAUGAUCUCUGUGCUCCUUCCCCCUCCAUUGUAGCUUCAUGUUUUCGUGAAUAUGUCUUAAACAGAACCUGUGUUCAGCGCUAGGUAAUAGGUUGGCAAUGGCAGAUAAAAUCCCCUAAUUAACAAGUAACAAAAAUGUUAUUUUCUAAAUGUAGUAGACAAAAUUACAAAGAUGUCAUGAACAAGUAUCAUAAGAAGAUUAACCUUUUGCCUGUCAGAAAUAAAUGUGAAGUUUGAAUUUGUAGAGAGCUCCAAAUCUUCACCUAGACACUCUAGAAACCAACUCCAUGAGCUUUUGUUCUCGGCUUCAACUAUGGCAUAUGCUAGUGGGUAGAUCCGAUUAUUGGAAUCAAGACCCACAACAGUGAGAACCUAUCCAGUGUAAGGUCCCUUCAUGAAAGCCCCAUCGAAACCUAAAAAAUCUCUUAAACCUGCCUUAAAACCCAGUUUUAAUGCACCUAAACAGACAUAAAUUCUCUUAAACAUCCUAGUUUCCAAGUCUGCAUUUGGUUCACUGUAUACAUCAAUCUUCACAAUUGUUCCUGGGUUGCACUGUUGUAAUUCUAAUACGUAAUCCCUGAGAAGGCUGUAUUGCUUUUGAUAAUCUCCAUAAACAUGUUUCUGUGCAAGUUGUUUAGCCCUAAAGACCUUCAUUCUUGACAUCCCCACCUCGUAUAUCUUUUGUAACUCUACACACAAAGCUUUGACUGGGAUAGUUGGGUUUCCUUCCACUUCUUGAAGAAUGAUGGUUGUAAGAAACUUAGGCCUCAUUUGAUAGUUGCCGAUUGAGAAAGUGCUGACUGAGAAAGGUCUGUCUGGGUAAGAAAUCCUGAUUGGGUAAGAAAUCCUGUUGUUUGAUUGUACAUCUGACUGAAUGUGCUGAGUGAUGAAAAAUGACCAUUUUACCCUGCUGUUAUAUAUAUAUAUUGAUGGAUUAAAUUGCUGAAUAAUUAUAAAAACAUACAUAUUGUCAUACAAAAUGUAAAUUACACACAAAUAAAAAAUGUCAUACAAAAUGUAAAUUAAACAUAAAUCAUUUAAUAUCCAAAUAAAAACAUAAUGAAAUUUAAAAUAACAUAAUAAUUUAAUGUAAAGUAGGUGAAAGUAGUCGAUUUGCAAUCUGAUCACGCAAAACACGCAUAUAUUCAACGGCUUCUGGACCCCAUUCUAUGCCUUGUAUGUUUUCUCUAUCAAUUCCCCCACCUUGGACGUCAGGAGUAACCAUAGUGUCCUCCUCAAAAUUUCUAAACAAGUCAUCUUCUAUAUUGUAUUUCCUUAUAAAAUUAUGGACCGCGACACAAGCAAUGACUAUGUCUCUUUGCACUGUAAAAGGAUAAGGAGCCAUUUGUUUUAAGAUUGGGAAUCUCGCCUUCAAUACACCAUAAGCACGCUCAAUAACAUUUCUAAGUUGUGCAUGAGCAUGAUUGAACCUUUCUUCUCUAGUUAAAGGUCUGCCUCUUCGAAAAUCGGCUAACCAAUACCUAGUAUUGCGGUAUGGAGCCAUAAACCCACGAGUGUUUGUAUAUGCGGCAUCACAAAGGUAAUAUUUAUCUGCAAACGAAUGUGACAUAUUAUAUAAUGACACAUAUUAUAUAAAGAAGAUAGAUAAUAAAAAUUAUAUAAAGAUUACAAACCUGGUGGAGGAAAUGGAAAUCCAGAAGUCGAAUUGAAUGCAACUUCUUUCAAAACUCUUGAAUCAUGUGCUAUACCCUCCCAUCCAGCCCAAACAAAGGUGAAUAUCAUAUCAAAAUCACAAAUUCCUAUUACAUUUUGAAAACAUUCUCCUUUUCCUCUUCCUCAAUAACGAGUUUGUUGAUCAACAGGUACAACCGCACGUACAAGAGUUCCAUCUAAUGCACCAAUUGCUCCGGAAAAAAUAUUUUUUAACCGUCUAUGUCGUUCUGAGUUAUGUCUUGUUGGGUUAGGAGUUGUUGGUACUAUAAUUUCUUUUGCAAAACACAUCAUUGCUGUUAGGACCUCGUGAAAACAUUGAUGAAUCGUUUGUGUGGAGUGAUGAAAUCUUCCCUUAACCGCGCGAAAACGUUCAUUAUGUCCUAUAACAUGUAAGAAGAUAGCCAUCUUCUCUUCAAUGCUUAUUGUCCUACUAGCUUGCAACCAAUUUUUUUGGGUAAAAUGGUUGCAUAGUAAUGCAAAUGCCUCUUGUGUAAGACGCAUCAUAUCGAAACAUUGUGUAGGGUCUCCGUAUAUCAAAUCUUAUGUAUACGCAUACCCGCUUGAAUCGUUAUCUCUAAUUCUAAGAAUUCUGAUUAGUCUGCGCCGGUUUGACCUCAACCAAUAAAACACAAGUAAAAGAAAAGCUACAACUUCACCAUCAGAAACCAUACUUGAUCUAUUACAAACAAUUAGGUAAUAUGUUAAAGUAAAAAAAAAAUCAUGCACCAAAAAAAUUAGUAAACAUCAUUAAAAGUAACAAAAGUCGUAUAACAAACGUUGUAUAACAAAAUACUAGUAAACAUCAUCCAAAAAAGUCAUCAAACUAUAUAACAGUAAACCAAAAAGUCAUCAAACAUAGGAUCCAAAAAACUAGUAAACAUCAUCCAAAAAAAGUCAUCAAACAUAGGAUCCAAAAAACUAGUAAACAUCAUAAAAAAAACUAGUAUCCAAACUUUUCUACCCGCACCUAUCAAAGGUAACUAUACUUCCUACCCGCACCCAUCACCCACGACUCACAACUACUAUGCGAAAGUCGUAACCAAACUUUUCGAACAUCAGCACUUUCACCAAAUAGCAAAAGAGCGGUCUUGUGUCUUUCAUCUUCUUCUCCCCAUUCCAUUUUGUUCAAUUUCUCCAUACACGCAUCAACAUCCUUAUCCAUUUCACUUUUUUCAAUUCUUUCAUUUUUUUUCCACUAAUAACCUUACAAUCUUGACAAUCUCCUCUUCAACUUCUAAUGCCCUUGCAUCUCUUUUUUUUCCACCAACUCUUUUGUUUCCACCAACUUCCUUAUUUUUGAACGCCCCGAAGAUUCUUCACUUGCACCUACGUGUUGUGUUGAGGUUUCCAUUAGAACAUCAUCAUCAAAAUCAUGGGGACUAAACUCUUCUACAGGACAAGGGAGUGUAGAAGAUGGCCCCCAACUUUGAGAUCCGGUUGAUGUCAACCCUUCAAAUAGUUGGGUGCAAAGAUCAGGGAACAAUAGGGGUUUAGUUUUCAAUGACAACACGAACUUGUUCAACUGUUUACAAUUUUUAUAAAUAUUAGUAUAUGUUAUAAAAAUAAUCAUAAUAGUAUUGAUUAAAAAAAUAAAUUUAAUCAAAUAGUAUAUGUUAUAAAAAUAAUCAUAAUAGUAUUGAUUAAAAAAAUAUUACCUUCCCCUCUUCUUUCCAUUGUUCAUCGGUCAAAUUAAAUUUAUUUUUUAUAGGAUCAUAUAUAUUGCCGGUUUUGUUUUUGAGUUUCACCCAAGCAACAUACUUUGAUUUGUAGUAGUCAAAGUGGUUUCUCAUUUGCUUCUGAUCAACCUCUUUACCGUGUUCGUUUAUCAAUUUUUCGCGUAUUGUCUUCCAUGAACUUGCCUUAAGCCCAGAACCCUCACGACCAUUAGUGGUUAGUUCAUGGAUACAUGCAUCAAGAAAAGUUUUGUCCUCACUCUCGUUCCAAACCAACAUCCUAAAACAUUAAUAUUUAAAGUAAUUUAUCAUAGUUUUUAUCAAGUUAAAGAACAAUUUUAAACAUAAAGCAAUUUUCAACCAAGGAAGUUAACAUCAUCCUAAAUUAUGAUUUGAUAACUUAUACACAAACAAUUUCAGAUGUCACAAAACAUCAAUAUUCAAGCUAACAAUUUCACAAAAGAUAACAAGCUAACAAUUAAGGUCAACAAUAUCAAAGCUAUAAAAUUAGAAAGAAAAAAAAAACAGCCCAAUUUUUGAUUUUAUAGCUUAUACUUUUGAUACUAAUACAAGCUCAAUAAUUGGAAGACAUGUGAUGUUGCAUGCAUUCCCCCUCUCGCCCACUCUUCAAGGAACAAUUGGAUUAUUAAAAAAGUUAGGUUACCAUUAAUCUUAUAAUAAUUAUUUAUUAUUAAUUUUACUUUUGUACUUUACACAUAAAAACACAACNAAAACCAAAAAAAUAAAAAAAAAAAAAAAAAAAAAAAAACAGCCCAAUUUUUGAUUUACAAACCUACUUGUAUUUUCCAAUUCACAUUCAAUUUCAAUUCACAAGCUAUAAAAUCAAAAUUCAAAAAAAAAACCUUCCAAUUCACUUUCAAUUUCAAUUCAUAAGCUAUAAAAUAUGAACCGGAGAAAAAAACUUCCAAUGUGAAUUGGAGAAAAAAACUUCAAAUUCAGAAAAAAAAACAAAAAAACAAAAACAAAAAACAACUACCAAUUCACAUUCUAUUUUAGAAUUCAUAACAUUAGAAAAAAAAACCUUCAAUUUUCAGUUCUUAUACACAAAGAACUACAAAACAAAACAUAAACAAACUUCCAAUUCACAUAUAAUUUCGAAAUUCAUAUAUUAGAACAAACAAUUUCAGAUUUCAGUUCUUGUACACAAAGAACUACAAAAAAGAACAAAAAAAGCUUAUCAUAUGAACAUACAGGUUGAGAAUUCAUAAUAUUCUAACAUAUACUAAUUUGAUUUCAUAAAGAACUACAAAUUUCAUACCAUCAAAGCAUAAAUGGUAUCUGAUUUUGAAAAUUAUUAACAGAAAAAUUAUCUAACCUGUGUGAUGGAUCGAGAAGGCGUCACUGAUGGCGGUGGCGGAGGUCCGACGAGAUGGCACAGGUCCGACUGGUCGGACUGUUUGGCGUUCAAUGUUGUGGAGUUCUUCCUAGCGGCUGCUGUGCUUUUAGGUCACUAGAAGGGAAGCGAAUGGGGAAAGAAAUAAUAACGACGCAGGGGCAAGAUAAGGGCAAGAUUGUCUAAUUUCCAGUCAGCAACUGUUUAAAAACUGAUCCAGAAAGCGAUUUGGGUCAGCAGAUCUUACCGAGAAAGCUCAAAUCAAACACCAAAGGUCUGACCGAGUCAGCCCAAUUUGCUGACUCGACCCAGUCAGACAUUUAUCAAACACUCCCUUAGAAGUGCACUCUUUAAUAGACCUUGACUGCACACAUCUAUGCUCAUGAACCAAAGUUUUCACCAUCCAAUCGCUUUCUUCAUCAGAUCUAGAAAUUAAUACCACCCAAGGGCAUGUUGCUUUUUGUGAGCUGACUGUUUUAUCCUUGCAUUUGAUUCUACUUUUUGUCCAUGGCCCACCUGUCAUUUUCGGGACCACACCCCUGCAUUUUGCCCUAAUUCUUUUUUUUUUAUCAUUUUUUGAAAAGUAAAUGUUUCUCCUAGUUCGAAUUGAAUGCAUUUUAAUGUAGUCCUUCACUUCUGAUGAGGACUUAAAUAUUUGACCCAGAUGGAAUGCAGUUUCAUGUACUACUCCUGAUGAACAUGUGGUUGGUUUGUUUAACCUUCUCAUUAAUUUCUUCCUCUCAUCUUCUUCUACACCAGUUGAUUCAAAUAAUUGUGUAUCUAUCACCUCCAAAUCCUCAUCAACUGUGACAUCAGGUGCAUUGAAUGAUUGGUGGUUAUCUAGAUUUGGAAAAGAAUAAACACCACUGUGGAAGUCUUUCAUAUUCACUUCGACAUCCUCCACCAUAUUAAGUUCAUCCACUAAAAAGUCACUAUCGUCGCUUAUACUUCCAUCGGUACUAGUCUCAUCACUAAUAACAUCUCCAAUUUCUUCAUUUUCCCCCAUCUGUUGGUAAUCAUUAUGAUCCAUAUAAAAGAAAGGAUCAAAGUCUUCUGAAGGGACAACAUCUUGGGCUUUGUUAAGCUCCUCACUUGCAGGAUGAACUCGAACAUCUUUCACUACAUCUCUAUCAAAAUGUCCAAAAGGUACAACAGACCUAGAAAAGUCAUAGUUCUCAUUCAAGUCCAUUUUUCUACUACAUGAUCCUACCUUUGUACUUGUAAACUUUUUUCGAUUGAGUUCCGGAGAAAUAGGCUCAUUGAUUUCUUCCGAUACGACCUUAUUUGGAGAUAUAAAGUAUGCAUGGAGUCUAGUAGUUCCAUGUUCAGUAUACACCAUAAUCUCUUUAUGAUUAGCAACAUGCUUACUUAACAAAAGUACGUCUGAGUUGUUACCUAAAGGAAGUAACCCAUAAUCGAUUUCAAUCUCAGGAAUCAAGAAGUGGUAGUAGAUAGGCUCACCGUUGAUAUAACCUAUCUCCUUCAUCAUAUCGUCUAACUCAUGUACGGAAAACACGUCCAUGUCUACGUAGUCAACAUAGUCAAUACUCCCACCAACGUAACGUCUUCCUGGGUAUUUUGUGAACAUACCCCCAUGGUGAAUCUUGAAUGUGCAAAAACUACUUAACUCAACUGAAAAACAAAUAAAUAAUGAUAUGAGGAAAGAAUGAAGUCUCAAAAUUGAAUGUGCAUAAAUUACUUAACAAAAUUGAAAGUUGUUAACUGAUCACUCACCAUAAGCUUUGAUCAGGUCAGGAUUUUCUGAGAAUUUUGAACGGACAUUCCACAAAGUUAGAACGAUCGCAAAAGAUGAAAAUGAAAACCCUAGUUUCCGUUUGAUGUUUUGAAGUGAUGAAGAUGAAAAACCAGAGGAGAAAAGAAAGGGAUGAUUUCUUGGGGUAAUGUAAAUGGCAGCUAGAUGUAAGGAUCAUUUAUGAAUAUGAUCAUUUCGUGUAACAAAGCAAAAGACCAAAAUACCCUCGUGUGAGGGUCACGUGAUUUAGAUAAACGGAAACAAUUAAACGGAGUAUGUCAUAAGGACUAUUCGUGCAACAAUUUGGAACCAUAGGGACCAUACUCGUCCAAAAUUCCUCAUAAGGACUAUCUUUGGUCUCUUGUGCCAACCACAGGGACCAUCUGUGUAAUUUUGUCUUUUUUUAAAGAUAGUUCAUAAUUUUUCUAUUAUAUACAUUGUAAAUGAAAUUGAGAACUUAAGUAGGUCCUAGGACCUACCUAAGCACAUGGUGGAUACGCCCCUGUUACCCACACUAACCUCAUACACUUACAACACAAAUGAACUUGAACGGUCUAAGACCAAACCAAGAUAUAAUAUGAAAUGUGUAAGUAUAGUUUAAUAGAUGAAAGUGAGGUGUUGUUUGGGCUUGAAAAGUAGGGGUGAGCAUGGUGCGAUUUUUUGAGAAAACCGAACCGCAAACCGCAAGAUGCGGUUUCUAUAGGGUAAAACCGAUAGGUGUGGUUUUUGUUUCGGCGUGGUUUUACAUGCAUUUUCGGUGUCAUUCGAUGCGGUUUCGGUUUUUAACUGAAAAUAUGUGUUGGUGUGAUUUUUCAUACAUGUGUUGAUCUACCAAAGAAGUAAUAACCCCUAAAGAAGCUAGAGCAAGGCCUAAUUGAAAAUGAAGCCAAUUAUUAAUUGUGUCAUAAAGACCCUCAUGCCCACGUCUCAAUCGCCCUCUUGGAGGGAUAUGUGCAUCUAAAAGAUCUUUCAUACUGUGCCCAAUCCCAAAAUUAGUUCUAUACAUAUGCCCAACAAUAAGAAAAAGAAAUGCAAUAGCUAAAUAAUGAUGAGUCAUAUCAGCAUGUCCAAACCCGACUUUUCAGUUAACUUUCCUUUAUUUCCGGUACAGAUUCUCAUUUAAAUGUAUUUAACAUGCUUGUGAAAUAGUUAUAUGUUAUUCUUAUCAAAAUAUAGACUUCUUUAUGAUAUUACGAUUUUGAGAUUUGAAUUAUAUGUUUGAUGCAACAAGGGAUUUGGUUUUAUAAUCUCAAAUUCCAUUACUUAAUCAUUAUUGUUUAUACAGAUAGAGGCGGCUUUUGAUUCGAAUUGCAUUUUGCUUGUGAUAAGCAAAAGGAAAAUUGUUAAUGGUACGCACUUUGAUACAAAUGUCAAAUUUUAUAAAAAUAUAGCAAAACAUAAGGCAUGCACAGUGGCAAAAAGAACUGAAGAGGUCGAAGUUGAACAAAAUAUACUUUUAUUAAUAAGUAUUAUAAUAUAUUAAAUAUUGUCAGGUUUUUAUGGUGCUGUUUGGCAUUGUCCAAACCGCACCACACCGAAAAAUUACCAAUUAAGGUUGGAUUGGAAUGCAUAAUUAUCAAUUUAUCCUUAAUAAGUCAUAAAUCAACAAAAAUGGCCCAACAAUUUUCUUAAUCUUAAUUGUUGCCUUUGGAUUAGAAAUCAUCAACGAUCAAGAUUGGUUCUCACAAUUCUCUAAUCUCUACUUUUAUGUUGUUUUCAUUUGAACUCAACCCAAAAAUCUCACCAGUAAUCACCACACGAACAAAUCCCGUUCUUGAAAUGAUGAAACCUAUUUGUAUCCCGAAGAAUAAUUUCCCGCUCAACAAUCUUGGAAAUAAGCUUAGCAGCAAUAUGACAAUCCUCACAAACACGUAGAUUUUUAGUAAUCCGUAUAGGCGUAAAAGCUUUAGUAUUUAUAAUCACAAACACAAUAGCAAGCUUCUCACUAUGAACAGCAAGAUGAUUUCCUUUAUCUUCAUCUUCUAUAUCAUGAAGUGCAGAAUCCACUUCAGGAACAUACCCAAAAUCCCUCAUCUUCCCCACAAGUACUUCCAACUCUUGAUAAAUCUGUUUAGAUUGUGGAUGGGAUUGAUCUCCAGCAAGAAACGAAUGAACUUGAUUAUUAAGCUCAACAUUACUAACACCGGGCUCUUUUUUCACUCCUUUUGAUUUCAUUAUUGAACGAAUAUUUGUCACAUCUUUAAAUCUACCUGCUUUUGCGUAUAUAUUUGAUAAUAAAACAUAAUACCCUGCUUGUUCAGGGACCAAUUCAAAGAGAUGAUCUGCUGCUACAAGACCAAUUUCCAUGUUGGAAUGAACUUUACAAGCACUUAACAAAGCACCCCAGAUUCUAUCGUUUGGUUUUGUUUUCAUUUUCUUUAUAAAAUCAUAAGCUUCAUUGAUUCUUCCUGAUCUUCCUAGCAAAUCAACCAUGCACGCCAAGUGUUCGAGUCUUGGAAUGAUGUUAUACUCUUCGGUCAUCAAUUUGAAGAAAUGUUUUCCUUGGUUUAGUAAUCCGGCAUGGCUGCAGGCUGAUAGAACUGGAACGAAGGAAAUGGAAUCAGGGGCGAUUCCGGAAUUUUGCAUAUUUGAAAAGACUGUGAUAGCAGUUUCACCAUCUCCAGUCAUGCCAUAAGCAGAGACCAUGGAAGUCCAGGAGACGACAUCUCUUGUUGGCAUUUCAUCGAACACCUUGCGUGCUUCGUUUAAAGACCCACAUUUAGCAUACAUGUCAAUCAAGGCGUUCUCUACUGUUAGAUUAGGAAGAAGCCUUUUUGUUUUUACAUAUGAAUGAAUCUUUCUUCCUAGUAAUAAAGCUGAAAGAUCUCCACAAGCGGGUAGGAUGCUAGCAACUGUGAUUGAAUCCGGGUCGAUUCCGUAAUUCUCCAUUUGUUGAUAAAGAUUAACUGCAUCUUUAGGCAUCGAGUUGUUGACGUACACAGCUAUCAUGACAUUCCAAGAAAUUAAACUCUCUCGAGCGUGAUUCAUGAACAUUUCUUUCAUAAACAUCACGUUGGUAGAUGAAGUAGAAGUUGUUAAAGCAGGGGAAAGGCUGGCCAUGGUGCCUGCGUUGGGUUUUGAGGUAGAACAUUGCAUCAUUGUCUUACAAAUCUCCAAUGCAUCUUCAAACAUCCGGUUUUGGGCGUAGGCAGCAACCAUAGCAUUCCAGGAGACGAUAUCUCUACUAGGCAUUUCAUCAAACACCUGGCGUCCUUCCAGUAACCGGUUACAUUUUCCAUACAUUGUAAUCAAUCCAUUCCCUACAUAAAGAUUUGAAUGCAGACCCUUCUUGAGAACAGCAACAUGGGUUUGUAAUCCGACCCACAAAUUCUCAGACACGGAACAUGCUUUUAGAACUUGAGGAACUGUAAAAUGAUCAGGGUUAAUGUUGAACUUGAACAUGUUUCUGUACAUACGAAGUGCUUUUUCGUAGAAUUCAUUGUUUACGUAGCUUCUAAUCAUCACAUUGAAGAAGACUACAUCUUUUUGAGGAAAUUCAUCAAACAGUUGGCGGGUAACUGCGAUUUGGCGACAUUCAGAAUAAGCUUUCAUUAAUUUCAGAGCAAUAUGCGAUGCUGAGACGAGGUUUCCAUCAAUAAUUAACCUACAAUGUAUCUUUUUCAAUUGUUUGAUAUCUGGGCACUUGUCCAAGAUUUUGAUACACAAGUCUUCUGUGAUUAACAUGAUUGUUAAGGCGAGAUUUGAAUGAAUUUGAACUUAUAUUCCUUUCGCCAUGUUGUACCUGAGGGGCAAUCAAAUAGAAUGGACGAAGAUAACGAAGGUUUACUUGGUGGUGUUCACUUAAAAACAAGAAAUAUGAAGUUCUAAACGCUAUUUCUUGUUAAACAGAAAAUAUUUUGUCCAAUCUAAAAAUCCAAUUUUUGAGUAAGUUCAAGCUUAAGCUCAAAAAUAGUAAGCAAAACAUGUUUAAAAAAUAAAAGUUCGUUUGAAACUCUUUGGAUAGCUCGAGUAUAACAAUCAUCAUAAUUAUAGUCAAUAAAUCAGGCUCAAACAACCAAACUUGAUGUCCAGCCCUUGAUCAUCCAAUUGCCAACUGAAAUCAACUUAGUUUCCGGUUUUAGAAUCGCCCUAACAUUACAUAAGCACCAACUAGUUCCAAAAGUAGUUUUUAAUUCAAUGUCUCCCAUACCCGUGACUUCAAGGGUUUCCAUGUUACCCAACCUUACCAACUUAAGAUAAGUUCUUUACUUCAAUUACUAUAACAGAUCGAUGAGUCAUGUUCUAAUGACCUCUCGUCAUAUGAUGCAAUGCUUAGACUCGAGUCUUUUAAAGUCAAAUUCUAUAAUGAAAUAUACAUUCCUUCAAGUUUCUAAUGUGAUAUAAUCACAUUCUAGCAUGUAUCACUUCUAGCUACAAGCUUCUUACUUUAACAACAAUCACAAUACUUCUAUUGAUCGCUUUGAUUAUCUUUCAGUUCAAUCUUCUGGCUUAAGUCAGAUGCUACAUCGAUCUUGGUUCUCUGAACCACGUACAAUACUUAUCCUAGCUGUAAUCGAUUUGAUAUGACCACUAGGGUCGGAAUAACAAUCAUCUUCUUAGUCAUUACCGAAAUUAUGGUAAUGACACAUGAACAAAACAGAAUCAAUUACUAGCGUCUUGGUAACUCGUGACUUUCCCUGAUCCAAGUGCGAGUCGUGUGCUUCCAGUAGUAUAUGCCUCUACUACCUUUCACACCUACUCAUACUUGUCCCAAGUAUUGUCUUUCAGUUCUCCAAGUCACCAUAAAAGAAUUUCACAUAGUCAUUUAACACAUCGAAUAACAAAACUAAGGUUUAUAUUAUUUCUUGAAACGAUUACAUAGAUAUUCAAGUUCACCUUAUACCAUGCCUUUUAUAUUAGGCUACACCACAUGAUACUAUCUAUAUGGCUACUUUAUAUCUCGAUCUUCAGAUAUAUAUAGAUCCCUACUCCUAAUCCCUUGUAUCGUCACCUGCUUCAUCCAGGUUAGACUUCGAGAAUCUUCCUUUCUUAUCGAAUCUUGAGGAUCCCUCAAGCUUCUUCUUUUCUCAUGCCUUGUCUUAUUCCAGACCCUUUUUCCUAAAUUAGGUUUCCAUAUUCUUGGUUGCUCUAACGGUUGUCUUCAAAGUAGUUGCCAUUUUUACCAUUGCGCCAAAUUAUGCUGGCAAUCCGUUAGCAAAACUAUCUAUCUUGGAGAGUUCAGUAGCACCAAGUAGGGGAAUAACUUCAUCUGCUCGGUGAAUACGGUGACAUACUCAUCAACACUCAUCUUCCUUUUCUUCAAGUUCGAAACUCGUUGUUUAGGUCUAUCAGAUCUAUCUCUGAGCAGUAUUGCAUUUUCAACUGCUCCAUGAAUGCUUCCCACCUCAGGGCUUCUCCCCCAUGGCUUUGUAUCUGCCAAUAACUUCCACCAACUUAAAACUCUGGUCUUUAGUUGUCUGACUGUAAAGACGGUUUUCUGCUUGUUGCUGCAAUUGCAACUUUCAAAUGUCAUCUCUAUCUCGGAGAUCCAAUCCAUGAUCUCUACUGGCUUCGGGCUUCCAGAAAGACUUGGUGGUUUGGCACCUAAGAAGUUCUUAUACAUACGUUCAUCCUUAUCAAUCGCUUUUUUCGGGUCGUUCCUCCUUGCCACUCGGGGUUCAGCUUGACUCACUGUACGACUGUAAUUUCCCUCCUCCGACAAUUCUUCAUUCAGUUCGGGUUGCACGAUAGGCACAAUAGGUUCAUCCCUAUUAUCAAGAAACAUUUUUCUCAUCUCCUCCCUUUGUUCGGCCAUCAUAGCCCAAAUCAUUGCUUAGACUCUUGCCAUCGUGAUUGGCUCGGGUGCAGCUACUACCUCUGGUGCACAUUUAAUCACUCGUGGUUCAGGCUGUUAGUUUUCAUUAGCAUUUUCUAAUAUGUUGCGAGUUCUCACCAUUUCGAUCUAUACACUCUAGAGAUGUUCAGUGUACAGUGACGAGAAUUAAGAUAUGGAAAGCUUUAUUUACGACAGCCAUAUAAAUCUUCUUAUCACUCGUAAAAGUUAUAUACUAGUUCUAAUACCGUAAUUAAAUGUUUGGAAAUUUUGAGCAAAUGACGGUUCAUCAACAAUAGAGCGAAUCUCAUUUAGGAAUUCGUUGAUAGGUCGAUUUCCUUUAGGAUUUUUAGCAAGUUUGGAUUUUAAAGAGAUGAUUCUUGAGCAGGAGGUGCUGGCAUAGCUUGUGUUGAGAUGCUUUCAUGCUUCUUUUGUGGUAAAUACAGAGGUAAUGAUAGGUUGAAUGAAUUGCAUCUGAGCAUGAACCAAGAAUUGCAUCGAAUACUACAUGAUCUUGGCGAUAGCAAGUCGUGUAUUCAUGAUUAGGUUUGGAUUUGUCUUUGUCGAUAAUGAAUUUUGUGGUAGGAUCAGUCACCCAUGUGAUGUAAUCUUCCAGACCUAGUCCAAUAAAUGUGGACUGCACUUGUCGCCUCCAUACAUGGAAGUUGUUGGUGAGUAAUUUGGUAGGAAAGUGACUUGAGGCGGUGAUUUGUAUUUGGGAUGAUUGUGUCAUGGUGAUGUUGAUGAAAAGGAUUAGAGGAGAAAGGCAAGAUGAUCGAUUGACUCUUUAGAGUGUGUGUGCUCUGAUACGAUAUGAGAUUUGAGAAUCAAUGGGCUCGAAUGAAUAAUUUCAUUUACAAAGAUCGAUACAUAUAUAGAUGGUAACGAGAGUUAAAGAGCUAUACAUGGAAUUUACUAAGAAUAGAUUGCAAUUACAUACAAAUAGAAGAGAUUAUUGUAGAUUAGUCAUGAAGAUGUGUACGAUGUUAUAGUUAGAUUGCUUAUUUGCAAUCCAUGUUAGCUAAGUAUGUCAUGUUGAAUACAAAUUGUAUUAAAACAUUAAAGUUCCAACCAUUAUAUGUUGAAGAAGAAGCAAAUACGCCUUAGUCACACCCAUUCUAAAUGAUAUGGAUGUUAUGGUUGUCGUUUCUAUGCAACCAAAUCGUGAUUCCAAGUUGCAGUUGUCUUACCAAUAUAUCAUGUUAGGAAAAGAUGACAUAGCAUGAAAUAUUGUAUGUUACAACAAAAAGAUAUAUCUUAUAGAUGUCUUGCACAUGGGUUAUUCCUUUUUAAGCACUUAUAUAAAAAUAAUAUCACGUAUGUAUGAUAUCUAUUUUGAGAGAUUUUUAGCAAGCAACUCUUUGUCUAUUAUUGUUAUUGGAUAGAAAAAGUAUCAUCUUCGUUGGGAAGAUUUUACUAGGAUUAGAUUCAUAAUAGUUUGUCAAAGAUUUUACUAUUAUGUAUUUAUAAACCCAUGAAGUUUUCUAUUAAAUAAAUAAAUAAAUAACCAUUCACCAUUUAUAUCUUUUUGGAAUAGAGUUUGUUAAAUUCUAAUAUAAAUAAAAAGAGUAUUUAUUUAGAUUCACACAUUACAAAAUUACAAACUCCAAGCAUAAAUCCGAAACUUAUUUUUAAACUUCUUCAUUUAUAUUACAAGUUUUAUUCUUUUUUCCCAACCCACUUGGGGUUUCGAAACCCUAAAAAAGUUCUAUCCAUGGAAGUUCAUAUUUAUUUCUUAUCUUAAUGAAUUUAAGGUCUAAAUCAAUAAAUGGCAAUGUAGAAUUAACCGCAUAUAUUAAGUUAUUUUUGGAAGCUUUCCAACACAACACAGAAAGGAAAUGAUGAGAAUUUAUGGUACCAAAUAACAAAAUAAUCCCGGUUCCUAUAAAAAUUUAUUAAAGCUCUACUCAUGAUUUCAUAAUCUCCUCUAAUAUGAGGGUUACGUUAUUGUAAUAAUAACUAUGAUAAUGUAAAAGCCAUAACAUAAAUCGUCUUAAUUUAAGAAAUAAUAUAAAUCCCAAGAUAUUGUUUUUAAAAUAAAAAGGAAAAAAGUGGGAGUCCAUUAGAAGGAGCCAAGCUGAUUAUUUGAGCCAAGAGAGCACCGAUUUGUUAUCCUUCCACUGUUCGAAGCGAGAGGUUAUCGCAGCUCUGUGAAGCCAGCCUAACGCAUUGCCCUCUGCUCUAGGAACCAAGAAGCCCAAGCCUUCGCUCAAGCCACUUGAUCCAACUCCGAACUUGGAACGGGCAAACCAGAUUUUGCAACAGCUUUGACCCAACCAAACAAGGCUCGAUCUCAGUCCAUCCCACUUUAGAGCCCUCACUUGAGUCACAAGCUCGCGUUACCAAGCUCGGCGAUAAACGAAGUCCAUUUGAUGUAUAAAUAAUCGGAAAAACUUUCUCCUCCAAGCGAUGUGGGAUGCGAAACGAAAUAUUUUCAUCUUCAUUCUCUCUUUAUCUCUGUCAAAUACUGUGAUUACUGAUUACUGACUACUUAAACACCCAUGCAACGGAUUUCAAGUAUUUUUUUCAAUCCAUGGAUUUAGAACUGUAAACUGAAAAAAGAGAUUGUGGAAUAGUUUUGGAAACUGGAAUUUGUUUACAAGUUUUUCGUGAGGUGUAAGUGAUAAGAUAUGAUAUUUGAGUAAUUGGAAUCAUUCUCUCGAAGAUUCAAGUAUCAAGUAUGAAACUUAGACAAUAUAUAUACCUGUUUUCUUCUCUUUUUUCUGUCUACGAACCGAAUCCAACAUGAUUUCUCUACAAAAUCCGUGUCUUAAUCCUAAUUAACACUCACUAACCGGUUACCCCUCCAGAUGUUGCAGAAAUUUUCUUGAAUUAUCUCUUUUGUUUUUCACAAUUCAAUGUCGGUUGCUCCCUUUCUCUCUGAUUCAAGUAUUCAACCACCGCCAAAGACUUGAGAAAGUGGAGGAGUUUAUCAAUUAAAUGAGUUUAUAUGCUUUCCAACUUUUCGUAAAUUGCAAGUUACUCCCCGUACCUUUCGAAAAUCUUCCUUUAACAAUUGUGGAAAGUUGUUGAAAUUUGAAAAUAAAAUAAAAAUUAUAGUCAAGGGGAUCGUUUUAAAGGUUUCCAGGAGAUACUUUUGUUGAUAUAUUUUUGAAUAAAAAGUUAAUUAUAUAAUAGAUUUUUACCAAAUAAUGUGGAUAGCUAAAAAUGUGAUUAUGGUUUAAAAAAGAAAUCUAAUAAAUAAAGAUUAAAUAAAGAAGUUAUGUUUUAAUAUAACUAAAUUAAUGAUGGUAUUGUGUUUGAUGAAAGGACUAAAACUGAACAAAGAAAAAAUAUUUGUGUUUCACUCACAGAUACUAGCAAUUGAUGGGUCUUAAAUGAAAAGGAGUUGGAUAAGGAAUAAAAACCUUGUAGACGUUCACACUUUUCUCUUUUGAUCAAAAUCUUAUUUAUAAAUUUCAAAAUUUGAUUCAAACCUGUUGUAUAAUUUUAAAUAAUUAAACUCAUAAUUAAAAUUAUACUCUUAUCCAUAAGUUAAUAGAUAUCUUGACUCAUUUAUAGUAUUAUAGAUUACAAGAUUGUUGUGCACGUCACAAAGUAUCAUCCAUAAUAUAUAACAUGAUAUUUUACUUAAUACUAAAUAUACGACAAUUCAAAAAUCAUAUUUUACUAAAUACUUACGAUAACAUUUUUUUUUAAAUGGAUGUCUAUUAUAACAAAUAUGCAUGAGACAACGUAGUCGUCAAGAUAAAUCAUAAACAAAAUAAAUGUCUACUGUAGAAAACAUAUGUUUAACAUAUAUCAAUUGCACUUAGAAAAUAUUUACACUCUCAUAGUAUGCGUUCGAUAGGGAGAAAGCAUCAUAAUCAAUUGGUGAUUUUUUUGGUUGACGUGGUUAUGUGUUUGAUUAGAGAAGAAAGCAAAUAGUAUGAUGUCGAUUGAGGAUUUCUUGAGUUACAAAUAGGGUUAAUGUCAUAAAAAUUCUCAAGCUUUCAGGGUUUUGUCGGUUUUGCCCAAAGUUUAAUUUUAUGUCCGUUUUUACCCUAACAUUUUCCAAAAAAUGUUCGUUUUUACCCUUUUACCGGUGAUAACAGGUUACCAUUAUAUUAGUUUCGCAAAAAAACCCUUAAGUUUAUAGUUUUUUACGUUUUUACCUGUAAGUUUAUAUUUCUUUUACACUUUUACCCUUUGUAUUUUUUUUUUUCAUAUUAUAUGUAUUCAUAAAGAAAAAAUAUAUUUAUAUACGAAAUUUUUUUAAUUAAAUAUUGUAUUUACAUUUUUAUAAUGUUAUUUCUUCAUAUAUAUAUAUAUAUNNUAUAUAUAUAUCAAUAAAAAACAUAAUGAAUCAUAAACAUGUUUAUAUAAGUAUAUACAUAUAUUUUUAGAAGUGUAAAUAUGUAUUUUGAUAUAUGUUUUUUUUUAAGUAUAAAUAUAUUUUUAGAAGUAUAUAUACAUAUUUAUAUAUAAAAAUGUAAAAAUAUGUAUUUAUACUUUUAAAAACUAUAUCUAUAAAACACGUAUUCAUAAUCUUGUAAAAAAAUGUGUGUUAGGAUCUUUUGAUCGCAUUCCGAUCUUAUGAUCACAAUCUUGUAAAAUACAAAAAUAAUCGUAUGUAAGAUUUCAAUUUUGACAAUCUUUAUUUGAAGGAAUAUUAAAAUCAUAAAAUUAUGUUAAUGUGUAACUUGGAACUUGGUGACCCGACCCAAAACAAAGUCAAGAAACCCGACAUCAAAUAUCGAUGGGAUAAAUGUUUGGAAUAAGCUUAGGGUCGAUAGGCCCUAAGUCGUUGGUAAUAGAAGAAUUUUUCAGUUUCCGGCUCCCUACCUAUGAAGUAUGUCAUAUCGACCAAAUCAUAUUAAAUCUAUGUGUCAUUUUAUUGUUGCUUUUUUGCAUAACAAAUUGAAUACUUAAUCUCACAAAAUCAAAAACCUAACUUGAAUAUGAUCAUUGUCGUUGAUACAAUAAAAAUAUAAACCAACAAAACCUUGGAAUUCGGAUUGAAUCCACAUGGAGUUCGUAGUUAAAUUAUGUGUUUGAAAGAUUCAAUUAGCUAACCAAAGAUGCAAGAAAACUAAUCACUUUUGGAACAAUCAAAUUUGAAAUCCAAAGGACAAAAAUGUGCCAAUCAUAAAUUAGGAAUUUAGAAAACCAAAAGUGUAUUGCAAUCAAUUUCUAAAUUGAAUGACCAAAAAUAAUGACCAAAUCUCGCAUUAACUAAACAUUUGAAUGUAGUUAUUUAAUUUUUAUUGUAGCAUAGAUACAUAGACAUGAUCAAUAAAUCUUCUUAUUCUAAUAAAUGAAUAAGUUUAUUCUCAUGUUGACAAGUCUUCUCUAAUAAAUGAAGGUUUUUUGUCAUUUGUUACAUUCUCAUUCAAAUUGUUAAAUGUCAUUUUGUGGUUAUUUUGAAUUAAUUUUUUUCCCACAUAUCAUUUUAUGAGUUUUUCUAUUUUAUUAAAUUCCACAUAAUAUUUUAACAUAAUAGUUGUAAUAAAUGUAGUAAUAAACGGAUAUUAAUUUCACUAAUAAACUUACCUUUUAAUUUCAAAAUUCCCAAAAUUAAAGUUCAUUCGUUUCUUUUCUUUAUUUAAAUUAUGUGUUUAAAUUUAAAAGAUAAAAUACAUUUCCAUUAUAAUAAAUCAUUAUUUUUCUUAUUUUCUUAUAAAUUCAAAGUUCUCAAAUAUUUUGACAUUUAUAUUUAACAUUUUUUUUAAAUAAAUUCAUAUAAUACAUGGGUCUCGCAACUAGUGGCAUACUGUUAGAAAUCUUCAUUAAUAUUAUAUGUCAUCUAUCAUGCCACAUGUCAACCUAUUAAUUCUCCAUUUUAAAUUUUAAAAUUUAAAUUUUCCACUCUAAUUACAUUAAAUUAGAUUAUUUAUUUCAAAUUUUAAAUUUCACAUUCUAAUUACACUAAAUUAAUAACAUUAGAAUAAAAAAUAAAAUAAAAUUAAUAUAUAUUAUAAGGUGAUAUAAUUUAAUGUAUUUAUUUAAAUCAACGAUUAUAAUUUAUAUAACUAAAAAAAUAUCUCUUAAUUAAUAAUUUAUUUGAAGUAAUUGAUUAAUAAUUUUAAAUUUACUAUGUUUAUAUUAAUUUUAUAAUUAUAAUUCUCGCAGAUUAUAAACUAGUUAGUAGAAUAAAAUGACAAACUUUAGGCAUAACCCUUGAUAUGGCCGUAAAAUAGUGUUAACUCCAAAUCUAGGUGGAGCUCGGCACGAUAUAUCACAAUAAUAUUAACUUCAAACAAUUUAAAAAUAAAACUUAUGCAUAAAGUACGAGAAUAAAUUGUUGGGUUACAAAUAAAAUAUUGAAAGAGAAGAGGUUAAAAAUGGCCAACUAAAUGUGUUUGACCAUAUUUAGGGAGGAAGGAGUUGUUUCCCUCCUCCUGCCGAAACCGCUAAACCUUAGUCGGAGGGUAUCGAACCCAUCCAACCCCAAAACCACCGACCCCAUCUUCUUCAACUUUCCAACUUUGAGUUGUCUCCCCAGUGGGUUUCUCAAACCGUUAAACCCCUCUCUUUCUCUCUUGCUUUCAUCCCUUUCCUCCUCUAACCCGCUAUGACUCCUUCAUCCCUUAGUCACUCAACUUAUUUUUGUCUACUAAGAUAAGAAACUUUUCAAAAUCAUCAACUUUUAUCCAUUCAACUUAUUUUGUCAAUUUUUAGGUAAUGAUUUUAACUCAUUGCUCGCCUUUGUGCUUCUAAGAUGAAGUAUCUUGCAUAUUUUGGAGAAAGCAAAUAAGAAUAAAGUAUGUUGCUAAAUCUGGUCCCAAUAAACAAAUAUUUACUCAUAACAAUCUCACACAUAAGAAUUAUGUUAUCAUUAAAAGAUGAAUACGAAUGUUUUGUACUUAGCCUUUGCCAAGUUAUAUAACUUAAUUAAUUAAUUUAUAAGUCCAGACUUUACAAAGAAAAAUCAAGUGAAGUUAAUAAACACAAACUUAAGCAUCAUCAUUGGGUUGAUGCUCUUUUGGGUGUCUCGUCAAAGCUUGAUUAGUAAUGAUUGGAUCUCAUUCAUUAUUCACAUGUCAUCUUGAAACAAAGCUUUGUAAACAGAAUUAGAACCACCACCCCGUUCAUCUUUCUUGUCUCCUCCGCCGCCUAUCAUCGGAGUCUCACAAACCACGCUAUAACCAGCCCUCCGUUGUUUCUUCCUUUUGGAUUCUUUAUUAGAUACGGGUCUAACCUUGGUUGUUUGUAAUGGCUUCGGAGCCCAAACCCUCUGCAAAUCGGGCAUUCGGCCUGUGAAUACGAACCUUUUAGCCCUCUCUCUCCUCUCACGAGCCUCAAUUAACUUUUGUUCAUCAUCCUUUUCUGUCUCUCCUAAAUCCAAGUUGUCAAGCGGAGGAUGCGA